ACUCGGCGAGUCGGAUGAAGAUUGUCUGAGUUCUUGGAUCGAGAGAGUACUCGUCGAGUCGAUGCCAUACUCGACGAGUAGCAUCGAGUAGGGUCGAGGAGUGAGAAUAGAGACUCGGCGAGUUGGCGGCCCAACUCGGCGAGUCAGGUCAACUGUGGGUUGACUUUGACCGAGAGUUGACUUUGACCAAGGGUAAAAGAGUCAUUUUACCCAGUGCAGUGUUUAGUAUUUGAUUGAGUGUGUUUAUGGACUUGUAGCCGGGGAGAUACCGGAGCAGCAGCAGUUAGCCCUCAGAGCUAUUCACUCAGCAGCCAGUUCACGAGGUGAGUUUCCUUUCAGUAGGAACGGGUCUAAGGCCACAAUGCCGGCCCGUUUAGCUAGCAGUAGUAUCCGGAUUUUGAUCUGAUGCAGUAGUUAGCAUGUUUGAUGCCUUCGUGGCUCAGACAGGAUUAUGUGUGUUCAUGUUAAGUGAUAUGUUUAUGCUAUGAUCAGUCAGCUUCGGACUUCGGUCCGAAGUCAGCUUCGGACUUCGGUUCGAUGUCAGCUUCGGACUUCGGUUCGAUGUAGGGGACAAGGUCCCAGUCAGCUUCGGACUUCGGUCCGAUGUCAGCUUCGAACUUCGGUUCGAUGUAGGGGACAAGGUCCCAGUCAGCUUCGGACUUCUGUCUGAUGUUAGCUUCGGACUUCGGUCCGAUGAAGGGGACAAGGUCCCAGUCAGUCAGCUUCGGACUUCGGUCCGAUGGAGGGGGCAAGGCCCCAGUAUGUGCUUGAUAUGUUAUUGUAUGGUAUGUGGUAAUUUGGGGGAGCUCACUAAGCUUCGUGCUUACAGUUUCAGUUUUGGUUCCAAGUACUUCCGCUAGCAGAGGGAAGAGUUCGGGUUGAUGGCAUCGCACACACCACAGCUUCAGCUUUUAUCCUGGGAGUUGAUUUAGUUCUUGGUUUUUAUAUGACAUGGAUAUGAUACAGUUUUCCGCACAGUGUUUUAUUAUUAUUUUGAGAUACAUCACGUAUGGAUUUAUGAUAUGACACUCAGAUUAUGGUUUUUGGUUAUGUUGAAAAAUGAAAUUUUUGGGUCGUAUUUUUGAGUCGUUACAAUGGAGGAUUUUGUGGUGUAUUGUGGCGCGUCAAUAUUGGGGUUGGGAGUAGUGCUGAUGCAGAGAGGGCAUGUGAUAACAUACGCAUCAAGGCAGCUGAAGCCUCAUGAGGCGAGGUAUCCCACCCACGAUCUGGAGCUGGGGGCGUUAGUGUUCGCCCUCAAGAUCUGGCGUCACUAUCUGUAUGGAGUUUGGUGUACCAUAUACACGGACCACAAGAGCUUGAAGUAUUUGAUGGAUCAGCCCAACCUAAACAUGCGCCAGAGGAGAUGGUUAGAUAUGGUAAAGGAUUACGAUUGUGAGAUCCUGUAUCACCCGGGCAAGGCUAACGUUGUAGCCGAUGCCCUGAGUCGUAGGGCAGAGAGCGCCCCGAUAUGAGACGUUUGUAUGAGAUUGACAGUGAUGACUCCGGUGUUGGACACCAUUCGAGGGGCCUAGGCUGAGGAUGUGAGACUAGAGAACCGUAAGAGAGAGCGGGUUAUCGGACAGGUAUCGGAGUUCGUCACCGAUAGCCGAGGGCUUAUGACCUUCCAGGGUCGGAUUUGGGUGCCAUUUGUGGGCGGGGCAUGCACCAUUCUGAUGGAGGAGGCACACCUAUCGAGGUUUUCGAUCCAUCCCAGGGCCGCUAAGAUGUAUUUAGACUUGAAGAGAGAGUAUUGGUGGCCCUGUAUGAAGAGGGAUGUCACAUGGUUCGUAGAAAGGUGUUUGACUUGUCGCAGGGUUAAGACCGAGCACCAGCGUCCAGAUGGGAAGUUGCAGCCUUUGGAGGUUCCCAAGUGGAAGUGAGAACAGAUUACCAUGGACUUUAUCACCAAAUUGCCAAGGACUACAAGAGGUGUCGAUGCAAUUUGGGUGAUUGUGGACAGGUUGACGAAGAGCGCUCACUUUCUUGCUAUCAGUGAGAGCUUUUCUGCUGAGAGGCUGGCAAGUUGUACGUGAGGGAGGUGGUAUCGUGGCAUGGAUUACCGAUCUCGAUCAUAUCAGAUCGACAUGUGCAUUUCACUUCCAGGUUCUGGAAGAAAUUUCAUGAGGAUUUGGGGACGAGGCUGCAUUUUAGUACCGCAUACCACCCACAGACUGACGGGCAAAGCGAGCGGUUGAUUCAGACGCUCGAGGACAUGCUUCGGGCAUGUGUAUUGGACUUCGGAGGGAUUUGGGACACAUAUUUACCUUUGGCUGAGUUUUCCUAUAACAACAACCAUCAUUCGAGCAUUGGUAUGCCACCCUUUGAGCUGUUGUAUGGGAGGAGGUGUCGGACUCCCAUCUGCUGGGGAGAAGUAGGGUAGCGAGUGAUGGGCAGUACAGAGAUAGUGCUCCAGACGACAGAGCAGAUACAGUAGGUCAUGCAGAGGUUGUUGACCGCUCAGAGUCUUCAGAAGAAUUAUGCGGAUAGGCGACGAUCUGAGGUCGAGUAUCGGGUCGGGGAUUUUGUACUCCUGAAGGUAUCUCCUUGGAAAGGAGUGAUCCGAUUCAGGAAGAGGAGCAGACUAGGGCCCCGGUAUAUCGGUCCAUUCAGGGUGACCGCGAGGGUCGGCCAGGUAGCGUAUCGAUUAGAGCUACCCGCGAUGUUGGGGCAAAUUCAUGACACCUUCCACAUAUCUCAGUUAAGGAAAUGUAUAGCCGACGAGUCGGCGGUAGUGUCAUUAGAGGAUAUUCAGGUAGAUGCGAGCCUGAAUUAUGUCGAGAGACCAAUUGCGAUAGUGGAUCGGAGGAUUAAGGUUUUGAGGAACAAGGAGGUGCCGCUAGUUCAGGUUCAGUGGCAACAUAGGAGAGGGUCCGAGCUGACUUGGGAGCCAGAGACAGAGAUGCGGGAGCAACAUCCUGAGUUGUUCACAGAGUGAGACUUCGGGGGCAAAGUCUGUUUUUAGUGGGGGAGAAUUGUAACAUCUCAAAAAUCAGGUAUACCUUGUGAACCUUCUUCUUUGAUUGAUUGUUAUAUUUAGCCCUUGAUAAGAAGAUGUUUGGUUGGCAGGUACGCGGGGCGUACUGGGGUGUGCGCUCAACGUACUUGUCCGCGUUCUAAUCGUGAAGGAUUGCCAGGUACGCGGGGCAUACCCAGUCUAGAAGAGAAACCCUAAUUCCGUGAGCCUCCCUAUUUAAGCAACCUUAUGGCCCUUUUUUUGGCCACCUUUCCCAGAGCAUUAUCAUUUCUAAACCCUAAAUCUCGUUCAUAUAGCAAGGGAGUGUCUAGGAGAGCUUGGUAGUGUGUUCUUGGCCAUUUGGAGCAAAGUCAAAGCCUUGGAAAAGGAAGAGUUAGAGCUCAAGCUUGUGCAUCCAAGAUUAGUAGUGAAAGAAGCUUCAUUUUGAGGUAAAAAGCUUCAAGCUUUACAUCUUUUCUGUUCAUACCUUGUAAGAGAAGUUUUAGGGUUUUUGUCCCCAAGUUGAUAGCUUUAUGAGUUAAUGAGCUCUUAGAAGCCGAGAUCUGUCCGAUGCUAGCUCAUUUAGGGUUGUUAUGUGAUAAAAAUCCGGUCUUGGUUGUCAAAAGUUGUUCAUGCAUGAGAUAUGGACCUUUAAAGGUUGGAAAUGGAGUGGUUUGGGUGUUGGUGACUUACACAGCCAUGAAAAGGCCUAAAGUCACCGACUUUAUGGAUUGAGUCGUAUUAGAGAAGUCAAAUCUGGAAUUUGGACGCAAGUCUUAACUAAUUAAGACCCAAAAAUCAAAGAAGACUGAAAUUGGGAAUUACGUCGGGCGUAAUCCCAGUACGCGGGGCGUAGGGGGUCGCGUUCCCCGUUUCUGUAAGGUUGCCGAGUACGCCCAGCGUACAGGGUUGGUACACGCGGCAUAACCCGGAGAGAGUUGACUUUUGUUGACUUUUAGGGUUUGGUCAAUAUUUGGGUCUUUGAGCCAUGAGAGGGGUAAAAUGGUCUUUUGCCCUUCUAAGAAUGCCAAGAGAGAGUUCAGUCUAGCCUUUGAGAGUUGUAUUGAUUAGGGUAUUUAUUCCAUGUAAUUAGGCGGAGGCUAGACCAGAUAUUCACCGAGUCAGAGAUUUACCGAGACACCCGAGGUGAGUCUUUUCACUAUACUUUACCUAGAGUGGUAAUUAGAGUUAUGUGACAGAGUAUUUUGUAUACUUUUUCAUGAUGUGAUUUAUGCUAUGUAUGUGCCAGAGUUUUCAGAGUUAGGACCGUAAGGUCCACAAAGUUAGGGCCAGAGGGCCCACAGAGUUAUGGGACUGGAGGGUCCCACUGAGACACAUUGACCAGAGGGUCAAAUAGAGUUAUAGCCUCGAGUGGCUAAUAUGUAUUGUGUGUGGUAUUUUGAGGAACUCACUAAGCAUUUAUGCUUAUAGUGUUUUGUGUUAUGUGUUUCAGGUACUAGUGACGGUCGUGGGACGGCGCCGACAUGAUUCGUACACACACGCAGAGUUUUAUAUGUUCUUUUGAUCUUGGGAUAUGUUUUAUGAAUUGAGACGUGAUACAUUGAGAUUUUUAUAAUAAAUGUGAAUGGGAAUGUAUUUUGAAAAUGCGAAAAAUUGUUUAGAUUUUUACGGUGUCACAAUUUGGUAGGUUUGAGGGACUCGGAUACACCUUCGGGCGUAUCUGAACUCAAACUGAUGAUUUGAGGAAAAUUUUUGAUAAUAAAAUAAUUUUCAAAGAGUAAAAGAGUUUUGAAACAAACAGAGCAGAGCCAUCUAUACGAUCAGCCAGCGCCCAAACGGUGAUUUCCCAAAAUACCCUUACAAUAAGUGUUAUGAGAUAUGUUAUGCUAUGAUAUAUGAUGAGUUAUGUUAUGCAUGCUAGAGUAGACUAGGUAUUUUUAUUAGGACUAGAGCGGCCUGAUUUAAUAAUAUUCAUUGUAAUUUAGACAUAAGGAGAAACAUGAUAAUCCAAUAACCAUAGCAUGUUAUAGAGCCAUACAUUUAUCAAGUUAAAAGGAAAAAAGCUAACAUUAUAGACACACAUAGGAAAACUGAGUUAGUAGACAACACCAUAUUGCCAUUAAUCGUGAUGACACAAUAGCAUGUUAAACUCGAUGUAAACCAAUUUUUGAUGCUAUCACAAAACUUAUUUAUUUAGACGAUCAUUUAAAAUUUUUAAAAAGAAUGUUUCCACAAUUUCACAAAAAGUUUGCAAUUUUAACAUAAGAUUUACCUAAAAUUCACCAAAAGGCUUGCAAUGUUUUCAUGAAAUCAAGGCAAAUGAACAAUUUUAUGAAAAUGGAUGAAUGAAAUAACCUUUCACUUACAUAUAUCCGGCCACAUUCUAUAAUUUAUGCACACAAAGAAAACAUCCAAUUUCCAUUUAAACCCAAUAACAUAUCCCAUUUUUAGAAAAACAAUACUCUUACCAGUUUCCAAUAUUUUUGAAGUAGAAAAAAAUAAGUAUUUUUAAGUCAGCUACAUUGACGGAACAAAAUAGUAUAUAUGAAACGACCCAAAAAUCAUGACUAAACAUUUCGUUUGAAUAACAUUACUUAAACCAUGAUUGUCAAACCAUAACAUAAUUCUUAACAUAAAAUCAGAGUAUUAAUUUAAAACAUAAUCUUAUUAUCAUAGUGAAACAUCCCAAGCUGACUAAUUAUGGUGCGUGCUAUGCGAUCAUCCCGAGCUCUUCCCUCCGACACCGGAAGUACCUGAAACCAAAAAUGAUAAUUGUAAGCACGAAGCUUAGUGAGCUCCCCCAAACUACCGCAUACCAUACAAUAACAUAUAAAGCACAUACUGGGCCUUGCCCACUGCAUCAGACCAAAGUCCGGACUAGCUAGGGCCUUGCCCCCUGCAUCGGACCGAAAUUCGGAAACUGCAUCGGACCGAAGCCCAAACUAACUGGGCCUUGCCCCCUGCAUCGGACCGAAGUCCGACUAACUGCAUCGGACCGGAGCCCGGACUAACUGGGGCCUUACCCCCUGCAUCGGACCAGAGUCCGGACUAACUGGGUGAACAUAGCAUAGCAUAAUCAUAACUACUAGCAUAAAUACAUAUACUGCAUACUGCGUUGGACCGAAGUCCGGAACAUAUAACACAAAAACACACUUGAAUCACAAAAGACAUCAAGCACACUGAACUACUGCAUCGGACCGAAGUCCCGAAACUACUGCUAACUAGACGGGUCGACAUUGUGGCCGUAGACCCGUUCCUACUGGAAGGAAACUCACCUGAACUGCUGAACUCGGCCAAUAACCCUCUGGCUGCUAACCGAGAACUCUCCGAAAUCCUGCUCCUAUAUCUCCCAGAGCAACCAAUACCAAUAACAACACUUAGACUAAACUAUCCUCCCGGGGUCAACUAAGUCAACUUUGGUUAAAGUCCCGGUUAAAGUCAACCUUCCUGAUUGACUCUACUCGUCGAGUUCUUAUACUCAGAAAACUCCCAUAACACGACUCAACUCGCCAAGUCGCCCCUGGACUCGUCGAGUUGAAUGAUCUCUAAUUCUAUCUUGACCAACUCGGCUGAGUCGCCAACCGACUCACAGAUCUGAAGCUUAACCAAAAGAGGUUGGGGGUUUACGACCUGAGUCGCCGAGUCCAAGAACAGACUUGCCGAGUCCAAGACAAUCUUCAUCAGACUCGCCGAGUUGUUCUUCCAACUCGUUGAGUCCAUGCCCAUCUUCAUAUGACUCGCCGAGUCCACCCAAGGAACUCGCCGAGUCUCUUCAGUCCUUCAUCCAUACAGAGGCUUUUUGAGCCAUGCAGGGGCUCCAAACUGUAGAUCCACUCUUUUAGGGCAUAACACCCACGUAAAGUUGCAAACUUUACGUGAAACCAAGGAGUUAAAGGUCCAAAUCACUCUAGGGCUAGGGCUUAAGACAAAGGGGCUUUACCAACAACUCUUUGACUGAUGCUUUAUGACAUGCUAAACCAACACAAGUCUAGAUAUGGAGUAGCAACCUCAGAUCUAAAUCUAAACCUGAAAUAAAUCUCAAACAUACCAAAAUGGCCCCAAAUCUCAUUCAUGAAUAGAUCUAGAUGCAAAAUAGGGAAGGUAACAGCUUAUUACCUCCAAGACGUGCCCAAACUGAAGUAGAUUCUGGAUCUACACCACUCUCUUGAUGCAAGCCCUCUUGAUCUUCAAGUUUCUUCCACUAGAAACAACUUCCAAAGCUUCAAUCUCCCUCCAAAGGCCUCACACACAUGAGCUUAGGGUUUUCUGGUUCUCAAGGGCAAUAAGGAGGCUGAGAGAAGGACAUAAAGUCCUUUAAAUAGGGUGUAACCCUCGAGAUUAGGGUUUUCUCAAUCCAGCACCAACUCGUCGAGUCCAGCUUCCGACUUGGCGAGUUGGUCACUUAAUUCACGACUCAAAACCCGCUCCGACUCGGCGAGUAAGUAUACCUACUCAUCGAGUCCCUUCUUCAAUUUACACUUUAAGCCCUUAACUCAAACUUUUGAAAUUUGGGAUGUUACAACUCUCCCCCACUUAAAUUGUCCUCGAAGCCUACUGCAGUAUACGCUUCCAAACUAACCACUUGCACUCCAGACUCCGAAUUCCUAAAUAACUCAGGUCCUUCCAGACCCUACCACUGCACCCCUUUUUAGAUUAACUUCUUCUCGCGUGGCAUCCUUGCCAAAACUCCAUGCCGACCACCGACCUCAAAUUCAACACAUAACAACCAAGUACCACCCGAUGAUACUGUCCUCUUCCUGACAGGAACACACUUUCGUGACUUGCGAAAGUUAUAUACCACAAUAAUUCACUGGGUCCUCUCUCAGUGCCAAACUACCCUCCCUUUUUCCAUAUAUGACGAUAACCCGAGCAACUCGCAAGAUUGGAACUCAUUCCGUCCUCUUCUUGAAUCCGUUCCUUUCAUGAUGACUACCCCAGGUUCCCACUAGAACAACAGAAUUCACAGAUCCACUUAUCCCUGUGAUUCACUUAUACUUGGCCAUCCUUCGCAAGGCCCUAAAUUUUGCAAAUGAACAAAUUCCUUGCAACAAGAUCACAUCUACUCCGUCUGAAAUCUGUUGUCUCGAGAUGGUCUGAAUCCCUGACAGACCACUCAUACUAAAUCAUUAUAGAUGAACCCCGCGCGCGCGCACCAAUUCUAUCACGUUAUUCCAAUUACACCGCCUGUAUGAUACCAUUUUUUUUCAAUAUAAUGAAAAGAAAAAUAAAGCCAAAUAUGAACAUUUUAGCGUUUCAUAAGAAUAUCACCUCAAAAUCAUUAUGAAGCAUAUGAGCAGCAACUAUCCAUGAAAUACCCCUUGCUAUCACGAUAACAGAAGGUUCGGAAGUAUGUCGUCUCUCAAUAUAUGAUACAAACAUGAAAAGGGCAAUAUGGGAAUUCUGCUCACCAAUUUCCGUUACAAUUCAAAAGAAUUCCCAAAAAUUCAUCUAUCAAUUAAUAGACAACAGUUUAUCCAUACAAUAUUUAAUUUGGAAAAAAAAGCAGGGCCUUACUUUAUAGCCCAUUUUAUCAACCAUUUCCUACACCACUUGAUACAUGGUUGGCCUAGCCUGAAACAAAACAAAGAACAACAAUUUCAAUUAGUCGAGGCAACAAGGAUGAAAAGUUAAAAAAAAAAAAGUCAAAUCACCUUGCAAGUUACAUCAACCUCAAGAUCGAACUUGAAUUAAUCAAAUAAAAAUUCAUUCAUAUAAGUUAUAAAAUAGGGAAGAAAGAUUCGUUUAACUGUAAAUAUUUUCCUUUCUUUUUGGACAUAUAGAUACAAUGGAUUGCUUCACUGGAGAAAGAAAGUGAGUUUUAUGUUAACUUACUUACGCCUAAUUGGGUCUCAAAACAAAGCCGACUUCCAACUUAUUUUAGAUUAUUUUCUUCUUCUUCAUCAUUCAUCAAAUGAAAUGUCUACUUUCUUUCAAGAAUCUAUCAUAAAGCGGUUAUUUACUGUUAGUUUUAAAACUAUGAAAAAACAAUUAAAGUAUGGAAUAUUGGCAUACUCUUGCACAUUAUAUUAGCUUCUGAUAACUCCUGUUGUAGGGCACUUGUGAUCCUACAAAUGAAAGAACUGUUAAGUAAAACUACUAUAAAUCAAGAAAUAAACAUCGAUUUUUUUAUCAAUAAAGUAACAAAUCCACUUCUUAUUUUCCAAAACAUGUCAUUUUUUAAUUAGUAAGGCAAAAGCUGACGUGGCUGCCACCUUAUUCCAUAUCAACCUCCACAUCAGCUCAUUCGUACAGUUGACAAGCCAUGUGGCAUAGUACCUGCUGAAAAGGUAAAUUUUGGCUAAAGUAAAGGAUUUUCCUGGUUUUUUGAAUUUUUUUUUUUUUUUUUUUUUUUUUUUUUUUUUUUUUUUUUUUUUUUUUUUUUUUUUUUUUUAAAUUGGGACUGCAUUGAAACUUCUUUCAAAAGUUUGAGAUUUUUUAUGAUAAAACCCCUUCUUAAAUUCCAAUAUUUAUUUUAAUAAAUUGAUUUAUUAUUAUUAUUAUUAUUAAUGUUAAACGUUAAAAAGAAUUAUAUACCGGACCUCAGAAACACAAAUACGUCUAUUUGUAUUUGACGAGAGAGAGAGAGAGAGAGAGAGAGAGAGAGAGAGAGAGAGAGAGAGAGAGAGAGGGGGGGGGGGGGGGGGGGGGGGGUUGNNNNNNNNNNNNNNNNNNNNNNNNNNNNNGAUGGUACGGUGGGUGGCCUAUUCGUGAUUUUUCUAGUUUUCAAAUAUUAAGAAAAUAUUAAUAUAAGGUAAAAAAAAAAACAAAUAAUAAGGGAAAAGAUAAUCCUUUCAAAUCUAUCAAGGACAAAACCACGAGUAAUUAUUGAUUUUUGACCUUCUAUACAUGUUAAAAACUUUUUAGACUUUAUUUAUAGUAUUUUUUGCAAAUUACGAGACUAAAUAUUGCAGUUUAAAACGAGUUAAGUUAUUAGUGAUUCAACGAAACAAUAGAAAACAAAUGAUCAUCUAUCAACUUAUUUGAAUAUAAUCCAUGAUAUGUGCUACAUCACCGUCUUCCUUUGUAUUGUCUCCAUAUCUUUAUCAACAACCUUCGUAUAUAGAUUCGGCGUUAUAUGUUGUUGUGUUGUAGUGGUUUUUUCUCUUCCAUCAUAAACAUAUACUAUGUAUACUAUAUGAUUUACACAUAGUGAUUAUUAGCGAGAUAUUUUACGAUCUAUCAGGUAACGAUUGGAUGUAAAAGUAACAACACGAAGAAUAAAUUAUGUUCGCGAGAAAAUAUCUAGUUUUGAUUUUAGUAAACGUGUACCGGCUAGUUCACGACCAGAAUAAUAGUUGUUUAUGAUCAAGUGAAAAUUUAAUGGUCAAAUAAAAAACUGUUAUUCGAGCCUUGAAUCAUUUUGAGUAAAUAUCAAAAAAUAAAAGCCAUAUAUAAAACGCUUCCAAAAUGCCCCCAUUAUUUUUAUAAAAUCGACAACUUUUGAGCGCCAAACAUGGAAUGGAAAUGAAAAUGCAGUUACCAAACUGUGAGAAAACCAUGCCAAUUUCUUCGCUUCAAUGCAACCCCUCUUACCAUGUCUAUGUGAGAGAAUGAACACGGUCCAAAUUUUCUUGAUGGAGAGAGAUUGGAUUGGUUCUUCGCUCUAAUCUUUGUAAGAAAAGAUUGAAAAACACCAAUAAAAAAAAUGGCGCAGGCACAACCAGAAGAAAAAUUGCAGGAAAUAAGAGACAAAGAAGCAUCCAGGAAGGAAGAAAAAAGGGAAAUUUCCAGUUCUCCUUCUUUUAAAUUCAAUGCACACGCACCUGAAUUCGUCCCUAGUUCGCACACCCAGAUUCCGGUUUCCGGUUAUUUUUAUCCAUGCUUUAACUAUCUGGGUGUCGGCGGGAACGACGGCGGUGGUUCCGGUGAAUGGGUUUAUGUUGGUGGCAGCGAUCAAGAUCAACAAGUGCAAUUUUUCUCCAAUCCAGAUGUUGUGAUCCCCAACUAUUCGAAGAAUGUCCUCACUGAGGAUCUUCAACAAAAAAUCAUCAAACAGGUCAUUUUUCUUGUUUUUCAGAAUUAAAUAUCCAUUAAUCCGAAUUCAGAAUAAAUUUCCCAAAUAAGGGUGUUUAAUUUUGUCUUCAAAAUGAGUUUUUAUCGCAUCCCUAACAGGUGGAGUAUCAAUUUAGUGGCCUGAGCCUGCUUGCAAACGAAUCCCUGGUGAAACACAUUAACAAGGACCCUGAAGGCUAUGGUGAGCUUUUACACCAUUCGUUUUUAUCCAUUUAAUCGUUUUUUAUUUUGUGGAUCUUGUUAAUAUAGCAUCAAGAAAACGAAUAUGUGAUCUAUGAAUAUUUCCUUGUGUAACAGUUCCUAUAUCUGUUAUUGCAUCUAUGAAGAAAAUCAAAUCUUGCAUUACAAAUAAUCAUCUUCUUGCUCAAGCUCUUUGCUCAUCUUCAAAGUUGGUAUGUUCUUUGACAUUUGAACAAUUACAAUUUACAAUCGGUUCUUCAUCGGUCUAAUUGUGUCCUUGUUAGGUUGUAAGCAAUGAUGGCAAAAAAGUUAGGCGUAAACACCCCUUCACGGAAAAAGACAAAGAAGAGCUUCAGGUUACUCAACUAAACUUGCAUACUAAUGCUUAGGUUGUCCUGCAUUUGACGUGCAUUGACAGUGAGACAAAAGUUGUUGUCUCUUGUUCUGUACUGUCCAGUCUUGUCCUGUUCUGUGUAACAAAUGCAACAUUAUCAAUCAUCUUGCAAAUUUUUUAGGACUUGAAUCAAUGUUUCUUUUUUCCAUGUAGUCUCGCACCGUGGUUGCAGAGAAUCUUCCCGAAGAUCAUUCUCAUCAAAAUCUUGAGAAAAUCUUUAAUGUCGUGAGAAGGUAGAAUUUGGAACCCAUUUUUGAUUUCAAGUUUCAUCCGAUUAAUUUUAUAAAUUGUUGAAUGAGUUUGCUUAUUGUAUAGUGUGAAAGCCAUACGUAUUUGCCAUCCACCAGAGCCUAAUUCCUCACGUUCUAGAGGUGAUUAUGUUUUUAGCAACAAGGUAUUAUCAACCUAUUAUUUACUUCAUUUGAUCUUUUGUUAUGUUAUUUACUUAAUUAAACAUGCUUUAUUUUUGCUUUAAAGCUUCAUGCUUUGGUAGAGUACGAAACUGCAGAAAUGGCUGAGAAAGCGGUACGUUUCUACUAUAAUACUACGUUUCUAUUAUAAUACUAUUGAAUAUUCAACACUAGGACUGGACUGACCGGAUUGGAUAAUCUUUUUAGGGUUUUUUUCAAUGAUAAGUCCAUUUCCGAUCCCACCUUCUUUCACCUUUUCGAAUAGGACAAAAAGUUGCACUUUUUGUCUUAUUGAUAUCAGUCUGGAGUCCUAGGUACAUUUUGUUUUGUCUUGUAACGUGUGUAUCAAACAAAUUUUAAGAAGUUGUGUUUUCAGGUUGAAAAGUUGAAUGACGAAAGGAAUUGGCGAAAAGGGCUAAGAGUUAGGUUGCUGCUUCGUCGUUCUGUAUGUGAUAUACACUUCUUUUUAUUUAAAUAUCGAUUUACUCUUUAUAAAGUUUAUGCAAAUCUUAUGAUUUAAAUGUACAGCCAAAGUCUGUAUUGAAGAGCAGGAAGUCAGAGUUUGAUGGAAUACUUGACGAUGAUAAUGAUGAACCAUUCGAUUCGCCUGAAGAAUCCUCUCCAACUAUCUUCACUGAAACUGUUGUCGAUAAUAACGUAAGCCCAUAAACACUGUCACUGUCACUAUCAUUGACAGUGUUAUCAUUGUCAUUGUCACUUCGUUAACGUUAAUAUUUAUAUAUGCUGAUGUUGAUUCUGAUACUGAUAGGCUGAAGAGGGUUCGAAGAAAGGAUGGGCACGAUUACGUGGGAAGUCAAAGAUACGAACCCCGACACAUAACGGACGUGGGGUUCUUUCAGGGUCGCCACAAUCAAGUGGGUCAGCCCAUUCCGAAACAUCAUCACCUAAAUUGAGUCCAAAAGGGCCAAGAAUGCCAGAUGGAACAAGGGGUUUUACCAUGGGAAGAGGGAAGCCAAUGUCUCCUCAUGCUCUAACUAGCACACCAUAAGUGUUGUUUUAAAUUUUGUAAGGUUAGUUCUAUAUAGUUGAUGCUAGUUUUUUAUUCCCCAAACAUCAAACUAUAGGAGGUUUUCUUUUUAUUUCUUUUUUUUUUUCCUUUUUUUAAUUUUGUAUUUGUAAUAAUUUGCUGUUUUGAUGAAUUCCUUUUGUAUAUUUAUGAUUUAAGAGUGUGAUUGUGUUUGUUUCCUGGUAACAUGCUUGUCUGAUAUUGUAUUUUAUAUAUAUUUAUUUUAUUGAUGUUACAUUAGCGAUACAAUAAAAUACUCCCUGACAAGGGUGUAAACAAGUGGAGUCGAGCUCAACCUCGAGCUCGAGAUUAAGUAGUCUCAGGUUCGGCUCGUUUAAAAUUCAUGGGGCUCAAACUCGAGCUUACUUUUCAAAGUUUGAGCUCGACUUGUGGAUGAAUUAAAAUGCUCGUGCUCGGCUUGCGGUCGAACGCAAGAAUUAAAAUGCUCGAGUUCGGCUUGGGCUCGACUUGUUGUUAGACGAACCUAAACGAGUCUAAGCUCAACUUGGUUAAUAGUCAAAUAAAUAUCAAGCUCGUUUUUGUUUUUAAGCUAAUUAAAAAACUUGUUUUGAUAUUUAUUUAUUUAAUUAUAAUUUAAUAUAAAAUUAAAACUAAUAUUAUAUACAUAUACAUAGGUUUGUUUACGCUAGCGACCAUAAUCGAGCUCAACAGAUGAAACUCAAGCUGGAGUUCAUGAACCUGAAACUAAGCUCGAGCUCAUUCAACUCGUGCUCAAGUCAAGUUUUUUACGAAUCGAUCCCGAAUAGCUCAGCUAAAAGAUAACAGUUUCUAUGUCUUAAAAAAUAUAUAUUUUUUCAAACAAUUUCUAUUAAAAAUUUUGUUCUAUUGUAACAGUGGUUCUAGAUGAUUGCUAUAAUUUAAAAACUAGAAAAACAUAAUUAGAUAAUCAUAUGAUUGAAGUUAUGAAUAAUCAUUUAAAUUUAUAUAAAUUAUCUUAAUAAAAACACUUUCAUAUGAUAAAUCUUUACUAUUGAACCUAAAACCAAACACAGAUUUCUUUUCUACCACACAUUACGAAACUGAUCAAACAGUAAUACUUACUUUCUUAGUAAAACCUUAUUUUUUUAAUUUUUUGCUGAAAUGUAUUAUGUAUAUAGAAUGUCAAAGUUUCAUUAUUAAACAAACAUGGCCCAUUAGCUCAGUUGGUUAGAGCGUCGUGCUAAUAACGCGAAGGUCGCAGGUUCGAGACCUGCAUGGGCCAUAUGUAACACUUUUUAUUCAUAAUUCUAUUUUGAAGUCCAAAACUGCCUUCAGUCUUUUCUUUCUUUUCCAUCCCUAAACACAAACAUCAUACCUUUCCUUUCUAAAAAUCAUUUUUUUUUAAGUUGAGACCUGCAUUGGCCAAAUAUAACAUUUUUUAUUCAUAAUUUCUAUUUUGAAGUCAAAAAUUAUAGCCGUAUAGUUAUAGGCACAUCAGCUUUUUCUUUCUUUUCCAUCCCUAAACACAAAAUUGUAUCUUUCUAAAAAUCAUUUUUUUAAAUAAAAUAACUACCAAAGUUUAAAAAAAAGUAAUUCAACAAAUAUAAAACAAAAACUUAAAAUCAGUAGUAAUUAUCUAUCUAUACAGUUUUAAUUUUUACGUCUUUUACCAUAAAAUUUCUGAAAAUAAACAAAAUAUGUUUUUAUCGGACGAUUGUUGUAAAAUUAUACGUUUUCAUAUACCAUUUGCAUAAAUAAAAACAUAUACCAUUAUACCCCUAUAUAAAAUGGACAACUACUACUACAAACAUAUCGCACAAGGGAUUGUUGAUUGUGGUUCAUCGGUUACACACAAGUAGAGGUGUGCAUUUACUGGUUUUGAAUGAGUUUCUGUUUUUCAAAAACCUAUCCGGUUUUAAGCAAUUUUUUUAGAUCGGUUUCGGUUAUAGUCGGCUUGUUUUGUCAAUUAAAACUAGGCCUGACAAUGGAGCGGGUUUUGACCCUGAUCCGAUCCAAACCCUUAACAAUUAUACGGGUUUGGAGCAUAGUUUUUGAUCUAUUUACCCGUUAACGACCCGUACCCUCUAACCCUUUUAUUAAAAGGGUCGGGUAUGGAUCAUCACCGAUCCGCUCCAUUUAUAACCCGCCCCAUAUAAAUUUUAGAAUUAUACAUUUAUAUUUUAUAUUUCCUAAGUUUUACUUUAAAUUCCAAUCGAAAGUCCAAAGACUAAACUGGUUUUACAUAGGACUCGAUGACUCAACUUCUAGACUUCCAGUCUUCUCCCAAUAAUCAUGAUAUCAUUUCAUUUAUAUUUCAUCAUAUAAUAAUCAAUUUCAUUUAUAAAUCAAUAAAUUCAUUUAUCAAUCGGAAUAAAGUUUGUAAUUGCUAUUCUCUGUCAAUGCAAUCGAGGGUGAAAAACCAAUCUGAAGUAACUACAAUAAUGAUUUUAAUUCUAAUCGAAACUCUUGGAGUACACAAUGUGUUUUCUAAAUCAAUAUUUGUUCUAUUUAACAAAUGUGAUUUUAUGAUUUAAGUAAAAUGAGUUUGAUUAUUCAAAAAACCUACGGGUUACGGGGCGGGUUUGGAUAUCUGCUGAUUCGGUGGAUAAGGGUAUGGGUUUGAUUAUUCAAAACCCUGCGGGUUACGGAGCGGGUUUGGAUCGGGUUUUGGAAUUUGUUAAAAGGGUUUGGAUUAAGGUCGAUUCGCUCCAAACACGCCCCAUUGUCAGGUCUAAUUAAAACACCGGUUCGGUUCAAUUAUAGUAGAAAACUGGUAAAAAUCUGAUUUUUGUUAAAACCUAUUCCUAACCGACUGUUCAGUUUUAGUUGAACCGGUUAUUAAAAAACAGUUUAAAAUUCUUAAUUUCUCAAAUCUGAUUUGCAAAAUUAAAAAAAAAAACAUUUUUGGGAUUUUUUGAAAAAACAUCAUAAAUGGUCCCUGUGGUUUCCCAAAUCUGAAGUUUAGUCUCUGUGGUUUAAAAACGUCAUAGAUGGUCCCUGUGCUUUGAAAACUUUUGACGAUUAGUCCUUAUUGCUAACUCCGUUAAAUUUGUCCGUUAACUAAAGGGCAUUUUCGUCUUUUCACGAUCACAGGGACCAUUUAUGAAGUUUUUCUCUUAUUUAAUAUAAUAAUUAUUAUUUAAUAUUAAAGGUAUCUCUCUCUCUCUCUCUCUCUCUCUCUCUCUCUCUCUCUCCAUGACCACCAUCAACCUCCCAAAAUCCACACAACCAUCGUCACCUUCUACCAUCAUGAAUCACCUUAUUCCUCCAUUCACCAUCACCGAACACCGUUCCCAACUCCACAAUCUCCAUUCCAACCACCGUUUCACCAAGACCCACCUUCACCAUUUCACCACCAUGACCACCAAAACCACCACCCAUCACCACCCUUAUUUCCUCAAAACUUCCAGCCACCUUACCCUACAAUCAUACUGUCACAACUAGAAAAUUUUGUGCCUUGUAACUACAACACUUAUGUCAACUAUGAAUCAAAAACAUGAAAGCAUGCAUGAUGCUUACUCUAUGACAACAGAAUUUCAAUCAAACACCUCAUACAAGCAUUACAAAUAGUCAACAAGCAAUUGGAAACCCUAGAAGUUCNGGUGACUGUGUUUGUCAAAUGGAUUCUGAGAAUCGAAGGGGGAGGGGUCUGAUUUCUAAUUUGAUACUAUUUUUAAUUACUUGGCUGUCUCUCUCUGGUAUGUUUAAUGGAAUCAACCACCGCGCUUCUCCAAUUAUCCCUCUCACCGUUGAUGUGAAACCUCGUCGAUCUAACCCUUGUCGGUGUUUCAAGGUCCGGUUUUGUCUAUCUAACCCUUAUCGGAGUUGCCUAUUAAAGAAAGCCCAAGCACCGCCGGACCCACACCGACGAUGAACAGAUUUGAAAGGGGUUGACGAUUGGAAGUCAACUAAAUGGAAAAGAGUUGACGACUCAGAUUUGUUGGAGAGGGAGAAAUCAACAUCGAUCUAGCAGUUGUUGAGCAUGGUGGGCUGGGUACGGUGGGGCGUUUGAUUUACCACGAUGGGUGUAGUCGGUAGUUGACGAAUCAUGGCAAUAUGAAAGCUUUCAACUUUUUGUACACUGUGUGAGAGAGGGAAACAAAGGAGGGGGAAGCAGGUGUCACACACAGAGAGAGAGAGAGAGAGAGAGAGAGAGAAAGAGAGAGAGAGAGAGAUCUUUGUAAAUAAGAGAAAAACUUCAUAAAUGGUCCCUGUGAUCGUGAAAAGACGAAAAUGCCCUUUAGUUAACGGACAAAUUUAACAGAGUUAGUAAUAAGGACCAAUCGUCAAAAGUUUUUAAAGCACAGAGACCAUCUAUGACGUUUUUAAACCACAUGGAGUAAACUUUAGAUUUUGGGAAACCACAGGGACCAUUUAUGAUGUUUUUUCGACUUUUUUUGUGGAUUUUUUUUUUCAAAGAAUAUUUCUACAGCAAAAACGGUGUAAAAUUAGAGUUUUAAGAAAGAUAAAAAGAAAAAAUUGUUGUAUAUAUGCGGACGGCUCAAAAAGGUUUUUUCAUAGGCCAAAAUGACUUUUUCGCAGCCCAUCUACCGAUUUAACAAGUACUACCAAUUACCAAAUCAUGGUUAUUUUUUAUAUUUGAUUAAUUUUUUAUUAUUUUUUAAAAAGUGGUAAAUGAGAUUAUCCUAUUUCAGUCUUGUUGUAUUUAAGGAUAUACUAAUUGAAUUGAUAUAGAAGAUAAAUGCAAAUAAAAGAGUUUUUGCAUUAUAUUUAUAAAGAUGACUACUUAUACUUUUUUGGAAGUUGCUCAUGCCAUAUUAGCUAAGAGUUGAGGGUGAAUUGCAUAAAUAAAGUUUAAGUUCAAAAAUUACACAUUCAAAAUAUUGUUAGUGUUAUUUGAAAGUAAAAUCUACAAGCUAGCAUAACAUAGAUAUAAUAAAUCACGAAUUUCAAGCAUACAAAAUAAACUUGGCAAAAAUAAUUUUAGAAUUUAACUUAGAUUCGGAAAUCCUGCUAUAAAAUUAAGCCAUAUGAGAAACUAGCAAAAGGCAAGAAGCUCAUGGUCACUUUGAAUAGUGGCCAUGUCUUGCUUUCCCAAACACACAAGUGCUUCAAUACCAUCUCUGUUUGGAGUAUCCAUGAGAAUAAAACUAUUCUUCCUUAAAUUUCCAGCAAUGGUUACUUUUACAGGCUUUCCCCACCCAAAAUCAAUCUCAUAUCCAGGAAACCCACACAUGCUUGAACACAUAUACAUGUGAUCAUCAUUCAUUUUGAUUUCUUCUAAAUCAGCUUGGCUAAAAAGAUCAAACACGGUUUCAAUAUUUCUUAUGCCUAGAAGCUCCAACUUUUUCACCUUCAGGUCAUUGAUGAAUGACUCUGCACUGAUUUCACUUUCGUUAUUUGUUUCCAUCUCAAUUGCCAUAGCGAAAUUUCCUAUGCUCUUUUCAGGCAUCGACUCAAUCAUUAUGUUUCUUAAGUUUAAUGCAUGGUAAACUCCAGUGGGUUUGAAGGAGCCUGAGUUAUUCUUAGUAGCUGCUUCCACUGCACACUUGUAAAGUAGCCAACUCAAAACUUCAACACGAGUAGCGUUUGUGAUGGGUUCAACACAUUCUGAUGUUAUGGCUUUGACUUUGAGUUUAAGCUCGUUUAUCUUUGAGUUAGGGAACACGAAACUCCUUGUGACACAGUCCUUCGAUUCAUAGUCAAGCGAAUCUCCAGUAUAAUUCAAUUUCAUGGAUUCAACAGAAAUGAACUUGGGGUCAACUAGAACUUCAUGUUCAUGCUUAUCGGAGCAAAACCGUGUCGUUGUAGCCCAAUCGUUUAUAAAUUGAACCAAACUGCUUCCAUCUGCUAUCUUGUGGGACAUCGACACUGCAACCGCUACUCCACCGCAUUCAAAAUGGUUGACCUGAACUGCAAGUGGGAUGAUCACUUCUUCGUUUUCAAGAUCAUCGUCUCUACUGUUUGAGUUGCAAUAUACUAGACCAUGUGGAAAGAAUUGAUCAAGAUCUUCAUGCUGUGAGUUUUUAAGGAAAUCCAAAAGUGUGCUAUCGAUUGAUGCUUCAAGAAAUUCAGCUCCAUUGCCGUUGCAAUCUACAAAAACUGGUGCGACUUUGGGUAGCCUACCAGCAAAAGGGUAGUACUUUGUUAAUGUUUGAGACAAUGAGUUCUUGAGGUCAAGCGUUUUAUCAUGGGAACUACGAUAAAUGCUCGUGUUAGGGUAGAAUGCAACCAUCGGCAUAUAUGUAUGCGGAAUGAUUUGAUCAAUCACUGAAAGAUUGUAAGUUUUGAGGUGAGAAGGUGUCGGAGAAGAGGGUUUGAUGAUUUCUCUACAGACGAUUGUGUGAAGCUGCCUUCUAGCAAAUCUUACCAGGCUACGUAUCAUCAUCGAUCGUCUUUACAUAAAAAAAAAGGUGGAGGGUUUUAACCUUAUAGAUACAUGCACACACACAUAAUUAGCCGUUUUCAAUCGUGGGAAUCUAGUUGAGACAAAUUAUGAAGACAAUCAUCAUGAUAAAACUCUAGACUAAUAUAUAUUGUAAAUUAAUAAAAUUCAGCCUGCACAAGAGAAAAUGAAAAGUUGCCGUCAAAUAUUUGUACAUUAAUGCGUGAAAAACUAUGAUCAUGUCAUAUCCAUAUUAAAAUUCUUUAGAUAUAACCUAAUAUCUAUGCAAACUUUCCAAUCGGCCGUGAAUUUCAUUUAAUUGAGAUCGAUUAAAACAAAUUUAAUUUGUCCAUCUUGGAGCUUAGAUUUCGGAUAUGUGGACGUGGGCUCUACAGUGGUUCGGUUUUGGCUUUGGACCCAAGUUGACCUUUCCCCGAUCUACUUGCUGCAGCACUGCACUCUCCUUGGCAACGGCCCAUUGUCGGAAAAAGAAAAAGGGUGGCUUAUGUGUAGAUCGGAGUCGUUUACUUGGCUAAAAUAUGGUGGAAAGUUUUAAAACACUCAACGAAAUUCUUGAGGAUCCUUUUAAUUUUUCAUUUCCCUGGUGUUCUAAAAAGAAGUAGAGCUAAAUAUUAAAACCAUAUUCUAUAUGAAUUAAGACAGUUUCGCAUCAUGACAACUUUUUUUUGUUACAAGUUCCAAGAUUAUCUUAUAGAACACUAAUAGAAAAAAAGUUUUUAAUGACAUUCAAAUUACGGCAUAUGAGAAUUUUAUGACAAACAAAAACAUAUAAAAACAAAGUCAUCUUUUGUGAAAUCUAAGGAUUUAUGACAAGCAUAAUUGUCUCUUGUACAAUUAUGUAAUCUUUUGCAAACAUUUACAACAUACAAAAAACUGUAAUCGUUUAAAAUUGUGUCGUGUUUUAGUGUCAUAAUUGAUAUUACCAUAUUUAUACAUAUUUUAGACAUUAUUUUAAUACAUUUUAAGUUAUAUUUUGAUUAAAUGCAAAGAUAUUUAAUACUUAUUAAGUUAAAUUACAUUUUGCAGCCAAAAAAGACAUUCUUGAGGAAAAAUAACCAAAACUGACAAACGCUGGACCCUGGAAGGAUUGGAGCCGAGUUGAGAGUUUAAUUGUAACAUCUAUAAAAUUUAUGUAAAAUUUAAACUUUUUGAACGUUUCAAAACCAUCCAUUGUUUACAAAUUGUUUUCAAAAUGUUCCAAUAUUAGAGUUUUCCCAGAAAUCACAACACGAAAAACAAGGAGGUGCACAAUCAAGCUUUCGCCUUCCCGAGAUCAUCUGAUGUACCUGAAAUAAAAUCCACAACUAUAAGCUAGAAGCUUAGUGUGUUCCCCCAAAAUACCAAUGCCAUAUAACCGAACAAUAUCAUAAACAAACAGUAUGCAUAUAAAGUCUUCAGUAUGACUGGACCGCCUCACCGGGCCUUCAGUCUAUCUGGCCCACUUUCAAAACCUUCAGCAUGUCUAGACCGCCUUACCAGGCCUUCAACCUGUCUGGACCAUUCUCCGGGCCUUCAGCCUAACUGGUACGCCCCGAUGGGCCUUCAGUCUAUCCGGGUUGCCUUGGGUUUGUUGACCUAAAGCACAAAGCAGGACCGCCUCAACCCACCCGCAAUCACAUCAUCACAUAGAUAUCAAAUGCUAGCUAGCACAUACAAUAAUCAUACAGGCCUAACAGAUCAUCGAUCAUGGCAUCAUCCUAUACACUAGGAUACAGAUUUAACAGAUCACUACACAUAGCAUCAUACUAUAACACCUAUAAAAAAUCAAGCCAAUUUAAAACUUUUUCAAACAUCAAAAAGCCAUUAGUUAUUACAAAAUGUUUUCAAAAUAGUUUCAUAUCAGAGUAUCCCAGAAACCAUAAGUCCAAAACGUGAGGAUGUGUACGAUUACGCCUUCGCCUUGCCGAGACAUCUGAAUCACCUGAAACAAUAAACUGAAACCGUAAGCACAAAGCUUAGUGAGUUCCCCCAAAAUACCCAUACACACAACAAUACACAUAUAAUCAUAAACAACAUACUAUGGGUCCAAUCAACCAUUAGGUUGGAAUACCCCAGGCCCUCAACCAUCGGGUUGGAAUGCCAAUAUACUAUGGGUCCAAUCAACCAUCGGGUUGGAAUACCCUAGGCCCUCAACCAUCGGGUUGGAAUGCAACCAUACUAUGAGUCCAUUCAUCCUCGGGAUGGUAUACCCUCAGCCCACAACCAUCGGGUUGGAAUGCCCACAUACUACGAGUCCAAUCAUCCUCAGGAUGGAAUACUCACGGCCCACAACCAUCGGGUUGGAAUGCCCACAUACUACGACUCCAAUCAUCCUUGGGAUGGAAUACUCAUGGCCCACAACCAUCGAGUUGGAAUGCCCACAUACUACGAGUCCAAUCAUCCUCGGGAUGGAAUACUCACGGCCCACAACCAUCGGGUUGGACCAUUGGAAUGCCCAAGUCUGUUGGCUCUCGCGCAAAGCAGAUAAGCCUCAACCACUAACCAAACAUGUACACAUAUAACAGAUAAUUACACAACAGUCUAUAGACAGAAAAACCGAUCUAACAGAUCAUAACAUCAUAAUAACAUCCUAUGUACCAGGAUACCGAUCUAACAAAUCGUAAUAGCAUAAUAUCAUCUUAUCUACCAGAAUACUGAUCUAACAGAUCAUACGAUACUCGAGCAUAUAGCAUAUCAGGAUAAUAAUCCAAAAAGGGAUGACCUUGGUGCCUUAGACCCUUGAGUAUAGUGAGGAAAACUCACCUCACACUCCUGAAGUCCCGCAGGCAAAAACCCUAGCUGUUGGAUGACAAAUUCCCGAACUGUCAACAUCAAACAACACCUAAUUAGUAAUUGGGUUCCAAUACAUAAUUGGGAGAGUAGGAAAAGUUUCGUAUCAACUUGAACUCCCACCCAAGUUGAAGAUUCAUCUAGUUUCCCACGUCAGCAUGCUCAAGCCGUAUCAUGAAGACUCAGAAGAUCCCUAACAAGGGAUAUCAAAGCGCGCACUAACAACGGUCGUUAUGUCCUUCGACCGCGAGAUUGAGGAGAUACUUUCGGAACGAACUAUAUGAAAGGGGGAAUGUCGAGAUUCAAAGAAUACUUAAUCAAGGGAGGAAUUUACCGAAUAGCGAGGCAAGUUGGGAGUCCGAAUACUUACUAUGGCAAUUUCAAAAUGAGACCAAGAGAUACCGAGAUGAAAAUGUGACGAGGACGUCACGAAAAUAGGUUGGGGAGAAUGUAACGACCUGCCUUAUUUAGAUAUUUUCUCUAAUUAUUUUUUCUCUAGAAUAGUCCUUUCUAGAUAAAUUCUAGAAGUUAUCUAGAAACUCCAUGGAAGGCUCAUGAAGAGACAUCUUCUAGAAACAUUCUAGAAGAUGUCCCUUAGUUCCUAGUAGUUCUUGCCUCUUGUAUAAAUAGGGCUCUCCCAUUUCAUUUCUCUUCACCUUGUAAUUGAGUUGAGUUCUCUAGAGCAAUAAAGAGCUUUCGUAUGUUGAAUUACUUCCUUCUUUCCUUGUUCUUAUGCUGAAGUUUCGAGUUAGGCUGACUUAGUUUGAGAACUAAGUGCCGCACGGUGAGCUUGAAGAUUAAGUUCGUGACAAAUUGCUUCUAGAUGUUCAAGAUCGAGGCUUGCAGAUUCCUUAUGGUUGCUUUGGUUUCGUUGUGACGCCUCUCGGAUGCCUCGACAAAUUAAGCUAAAAUAGCUACGAGAUCUGGUUUGUUUUCUUGCCAACUUUCCUCUUAUUGUUUUUUUUGUACCCUUUAUAUAUCUUCCACUCCUUUUGGUUGCCUCCAAUCCAUAUCCUAUUUGUCCCCGCUCAAAUCUUUAGUUAAAUAUGGACCGCUACAAUUGUCAUAAUCGAAUUAUAUUUCUUUUUAGUUUUUUUUAAUCUUUUUAUAAUAUAAUCCUGAUUAUAAAUAUUGUUUUUUGAAUUUUUAGUGAUCAUAACAAUACUCGAGGAAGAAUGUAACAUCCAUAACAAUCGUGACAAAUUUGAACUUUUUAAAACCAAUCAGAAAUCAUAUUUGUUUACAACAUAGUUAUCAAAAUGUGUUUAAUAUCAGAUUUUUCCCAAAAUCAUAGAACAAGACACAAGGAGGUGCACGAUCACGCCUUCGCCUUUCCGCGAUCAUCUGAGGUACCUGAAGCAUAAUCCAAAACUGUAAUCCCAAAGCUUAGUGAGUUCCGCCAAAGUACCAACACAACAUAAUAAUCAUAAUAAAACAAAAAAAACAUCAUGCAUACAGAACCUUCAGUAUGAUUGGACCGCCUCACCGGGCCUUCAACCUACCUGGACCGUUCUCCGGGUCUUUGGCCUAACUGGUACGCCCUCCUGGCCUGCAGUCUAUCCGGGCCACCUUAGGUCUAUUGGCCUUCAGCACAAAGUGGGACCGCCUCAACCCAACCACACAUACACAAUGUUGACACACAUAUAUAACAGACAAGCAUACAAAUAACCAGCCCAUAACCAAACAAACAGAUCUUACAGAUCACUAAGCAUUACAUCAUCCUAUCUACCAGGAUAUAUAUCUAAUGGAUCACUACAGUACUCAAUCAUACGAUAAACCAGGAUAACAAUCCAAAGGGUCGGCCUUGGUGCCUUGGACCCGUAAGUACAGUGAGGAAGACUCACCUCGCAAACUGAAUAGAACUGAUGAGGCCCAACUCUGAAUCUCAGCUCCCUACUAGAUACCUAACUCCAUCAAAUGACCAAUUUCUAUAAGAAUUCCAAAAUAUCCUCAAGGUCAAACUUGGUCAAAGUUCAAGUUCAAUAGUCCAUGUUAACCUAACACGCCGUGUUUCGUCAGCGUUCAUACGGUUGGGAAAACCCCAGCCAACACGCCGUGUUUGACCGAGUUUCAACAACUUAAUACAUUCAGCUGUUUUCUUCGAUUCCAAGAACUCCAAAGCUCCGAUCUAGACCAAAAUGCUAUUAAGAAGGAUAAAGUUUCCAACUUUAUCCUCUAGGACUUCAAAAAGGGUCUAAAAACCCAACCAUAAGGCUUGUAGGUACAAGGGCUUAAGGAAUAAGUGCUAAAUCCUUAGAGUAUGAAUCCCAUCCUUUCCAGAAGAGAUUCUAGCACCAAAAUCAUCCUAAAAGUCGGUGCUUUAUAGACAUGCAUGUCUUGAACCCAUAUUAGGUCAAAAAUGGGGAUUUAGGACCUAAUCUCCAUACAUGGCAUCAAAACUCAACUAUAGGCCAGAUUCAAGACUCUACUAGGUCACCUUGACCUGGAGAUUCAUAAAGUUGCUAACUUUAUGAGAUCUAACCAUUCCAAUAUUCAAGAGUAUGAAGCUAAAGGGAAAAAACUCAAGAUAUAGCAAGAUGGAAGGAUAAAAACUGGAUAUUGGACACUUAUAAAAGUCCAGAAGAGUGCCAACUGAAAGAUGAGGGCUUGCUUGUUGAAUCCUUGCUUCCUUCUUCCAACUUUUUCCUUUUUUGGCUUCCAAAAGCACCACACUAGCUCACAAAUGGAGGGAAGGAUGAUUAGAGUUUUAAAUGAUCGAUUGGGGAAACGGAGGCUAAUAAAAGGCCAACUCUUGGAACUUAAGGAGAUUAUAUAGGGUGCAAAACCCUAAAAAUUAGGGUUUUCUCAUCCAGCCGCCAACACAUCGUGUUCGUCCAUGAAAAUACGCGGCCCAAAAGUUCUCAACACAAUGUGUUGAGGCUUCACCACGUUGUGUUCCAAGGGAAAUCAUGCAUAAAUGGAAUAAAUUUCAUACCUGGAAAUCGACAUGUUACAAAGAAGCCCCGACUAACUCUGUGCCAAGAGCCACAUUGCUUUUAAUUUUGUAUGGAAAUAUGUGCCUUUCCAAAUAGCAGUGAAAAUUAUUUUUGAAUUGGAUGACAUUGCUACGAAUAGGAGUGUUGUUGUUGCAGUUUAUAUAAGGUUGAAAAUGAUUUUGACUUCUUCAUUUGCGUAUUAUAGGUAGGCAGUUUUCAUUGGUUGAUUAUGGACUUAUUUUGUAGCAUUUUCUGAUGGUUCGUGUAAUCCACGUAAAGUUAAACUUCAAUUGAGCGAAAAUUGUGCGGAUAAUAGUCCGAAAAAAUGCAUAUUUGAACAAUUUCCCAUUUUCUAUCCCAUUUUUACUGUGGAAAAUAUGGUAAAAGGUUCUUAGUGACAUGGUUAAACUACAUAGAAUUUUGGGCUUUUUCAAUCAAAGUUCAAAGCAUUUAGUAAUGCGUUGAAGCUUUGAAUUAGUAGGGUUUUUGCCAACACGAUUCUUGGAUAUUCUCAUGUUUCCGAAAAUAGUUUACAUUUUCAAAGUUCUGAUUUCUCACACUUGGAAACCUUUUAAUAAUUAGCUUAGGCACCUGAUGUAUAGAACAUAAUUCAUGUGCAUACGUGUAGUCUUUUGAGAACGUUAUCUCAUUUUUUAUAUGCAUCAUGCUUUUUAGUUUAAAUUCUCCUCAUAAUUGUCCUACUUGAGACUUUUUAUGAAGUCGACUAAACUCCACCCUAUUUCAUAUUAGCGUAUUUCUUUUUAAUGAUUAUCUACAUCAAAUUUCGUUUUUAUCCUGAAAAUGUCAAUUUUCUUUGAAACGAUGACGAUUUUUUUUUAUCUUAUUUGCGCUUUAACCUAAUCUCCCAAAGCAGCUGAACAACAAGAACCCUAGAUCGUAUUACACCAAUCACAUCUUGAAGCACCUAAAAAAAUUCUUGACAUUUGCCUUGAGUUCGACCUAAAUUCUCUGCCUCAACUCGAAAUCGACAAGUCCCAUCUACAUCAAAUUUCGCUUUUAUCCUGAAAAUUUUAAUUUUUUUUGAAACGAUGACUAUUUUUUUUAUUUUAGAGUAAAUUACACGAAUUGUCCCUAGUCUAAAUAUCAAAUUGCGCGUUCAGUCCGUAUUUUCAAAAAUUAACUCGGACCGUCCCUCGUUUGGUUAAAAAUUGCACACUUCAUCAUUCAUUAGUUUAAAUUUGCAUGCUUCAUCCCUUAUGAGAUAUAAAAUAACUAUUAUACCCUUUUGUAUUUCUUUUCCAAUUAAUUUAAUGUUAUUGUUAUCAUUAUUAAUUUAAAAAUUAAAAAAAUCAUGCCCUACUUAAUACCUAACCCCAACCUACCCACCUCAGGCUCACCCCACCCCACACCUUCCUUUUGACCAAUCUCUCUUCUCCAUCUUCUCUAAAAUCUUUAAGAAUGGUCGAUCUACUAGUUCUAGACAACCACCACCGGAGCACAUCCCCUGAUGUCAAAAUCUGACCAUUGGUUCUUUGUCGGGGCUGUGGCCUCUUUCCCAAAAAAUCCGACUACUGGAUAGGACCUCCUCCGGAAACUCUUCCCAAUCUCCUCACAUCAAGAAAUCCAAGCCUUGGCCGACGUCGACUGUCAUCGUUCUUUGAAUCUCAUCAGGGGAGGACCGUCGACGGAGAUGAUUUGGGUGGGAUUCGAUCUGAACCUGUUUCUCCUAUCUUAAUCACCAUUUUCUUUGAUCUUGUGUGAUGGCCUCCAAGAUGCAGGUUUCUCUUUCUUCAGGCGUGGGUCGUUGCUCUUUCUUCUCCGACCAUAUGCAGGUUUCGAUUUAUAGGUUCUGAUUAAUAAGUUUCAACUAUCGAUUUAGUUUAACCUGAACACGGGUAUCCUGUUUCACCAUGAUUUGGGAUCGUUUAACUCGUCUUCAGGGUUGCUAUGGCAAAACAUUGGUGUGAUGAGGAUGUUAGCGGUGACUUAUAGGAUUGGUGGUGGUGAACGUCGACAAUUCGAUUUUGUGUUUAUGCUAGUGCGUUAGAUAGAUAGAUAGAUAGAUAGAUAGAUAGAUAGAUUAAUGGUGGUGGUUAUUGGAAGAUCGAUAGAGAUGGAUCGCCUGCCACCUUUGUGCUCCCAUCUACACUCCUGGUCGUGGCCGGCGGACGUUAAUGGGGAUGUCGGUGGUGGGUCUUGGAAUGAAGUUCGAUUUCUACAAUAUCUUUUGUUUCAUUUCUUCUGUAAUACUCACAAACACUUCUUUUUUAUUACGGAUCUGCUAACAGAAAUUCAAUGUAUAUUCCUGAAUAAUCUCAUUUUUUCAAUUAUUCAAUUAUUCAAUUAUUUCAUUUUACCAAGUUCAAUGUUAGCAAGAUUAGUCAACAAGAUUCAAACAUUGAAAAAAAUAGUAAAUUAAUAAAAAAAAAUGCUACAUAAGAAAAAUAAAAGAACAUAUAAGAAGAAAUAUGCCCACCCCUAAAGGAAUAAGUUUUGAAAACCCCAACUUCUUUGUUUUGUGUCUAAAAAUUGAGUUAUAGUGGUAAUGGUAUUGACCGGUGGUAGUGUUGUUUCCCAUGGUGUUUGUUGGAAAUGGAGAGGAAGAUGAUAGGUUUAGGGGAAAGAAAGAUGAAGUUGGGAAAGGGAAGAGGAAUGAACCGAGGGAUAAAGGGUUGUGGGUAUGGAUAUUUUAUUGUUUUUUCUUUUUCUUUUUAAUAUAAAAAUAAUAAACAAAUAAAAGAAAAUGAAAAAAGAAAUAAAUAAGGGCAAAAUGGUCUUUUUAUGUCCGAAGGGAUGAAGCGUGUAAGCUUUAAACUAACAAGGAACGGUCUGAGUUAAUUUUUAAAAAUAAGGACUAAACAUGCAUUUUAACACUUACACGAAGGACGAUUCACAUAAUUCACUCUUUAUCUUAUUUAUGUUUUAACCUAAUCUCCGAGAUGAGCCGAAGAACAAAAACCUUAGAACCCUAAUCUCAGUGGGGGAGUCUAUGUAUUGGAAGUGGGAUGUGUGGACCCCACUUCUUUGUAAAUCUCACCAUAUAUACAUGUAUUAGGCUGAAAGGAGUCAAAGUGCCAAACAAACUCGCCAUGGUCGCUAACUCAUUUGGAACACCGCCCCCUAGCGCUCGCUAGGGGGCUCGCCAUGGAUCAUUCGCUUCCAGAUUAACGAGAUGUGAGAGAGUAUUUGUUUGGCUUGUGAUUGGAUGAAGGGUAUUUGAUAGGAUUGCAUGCCCAUUCCUCCGUUUUUGGCAGAUGGGAGGUGUCGAAGCUUUGAUUUUUGUUGCUCGUUUAGUAAAGAUAAAGAAUUUACAUAUUUGGUCCCCAAAGUUUCUACAACUUGGUAUUUUCUGUCCCAAAGUUUAAACAACUUGGUAUUUUUGUCCAAAAACAUAAACCUUUUUAUUUAGAUUAUGUUUUAAAUUAUAGUAAUCUUUUUUAUUUAAAUAUUAAUUUCUUGUAUUUAAAAAAAAUAGAAUUUUUGUAAUAUUAAAUGUUUGUGCAUUAAAAAAAUAUAAUUUAAUUAAAUUUGAAAAAAAAAAUAAAAAAAAUUGAAGUGAUAGGAGUGUAGCAUCAUUAUUAUUAUUAUUACUAGUUGUGUGAUCCGUAUCUUAUACGGGUUGGAUAAAACAAAAAAAAAAAUAUGAAGGUUUAAACAAAAAUUUAUUUAGAUUUGAAAUUUGAAAUUUAUAAUUUGAAUUUAAAAGAAAACAUAUUCAAUAGUAUAUGAGUUGUAAUAUUGUCAUUUAAUGGUUAUUUUCAAAUAAGACAAUUAUUAAUUGAGGUGUAAAUAUGAUGUGUUAAUUAAAAAAAGAUAAACAAUGAGAAAAUGACAUAUGGAAAAAACAUUUAUUCAAAAAUACCAAAAAAUGACAUGUGUCUAAGUUAAUGGAAGAGUGACAUUUGGCAAAAUUAUUUUCAUUUAUUAGGGAUUAUUAUAUUAUUAUAUUAUUAUUAUUUUAUUUUUUAUUUUUUAUUUUUUUAUUUUUUUAUUUUUUUUAAAGAAGUGGUCCACCCUUUGACUUUACUUUGACACCUACAUACUCUUGCAUUGCUCAAAUCGUAUUCCACUUUAUUUCUUCUUGUGUUCUUUCUUUCUUUCUCUCUUCAUUCUCUUCGACCUAGAGGGUGUUUGGCUUAGCUUUUUAAAUGACUUUUGACUUUAUCUUUUAGAAAAAGUCCCAAAAGAUGUUUGGUAAAGGGAAAAGGACUUUUGUAAAUGAUUUUUCCCAUAAAGUAAUUUGAGUCUUUUUGAAAAGUCACGAUUACCUGACUUUUCCCAACUUUUCACCAACUAAAAAUAUUAAAUUACCAAUAUACCCCUCAUCUAACCUAAACAUGUCUUUUUUUGUCAUUUUACAUGUAAAAGUUAAACUAAACACUUUAACUUUUGACUUUUUCCUUUCAAAAGCUAAUCCAAACACAUUUUAAAAAAUAACUUUUGUAAAAAGUUCUUUUACAAAAAGUCUUUUUACAAAAAGGACUUUUGCCCUACAAAAGCUAAGCCAAACACCCCCCUAGCUUUUGCCUCUAGUAAUAAUCACCAUUCUAUACAAUAAGAUCGGAAAAAGGAAUCGGAAAAAGGUUCACGUCGAAGGCCUGAGUGAGCCUCCGGCCUCUGCUGCCCCUGUUCUGUCAGUCUAGCUCGGUAUAUACUUUGAUUUUAUUUUUAGGGGAAAUCGAUUUUUCUUGGUUUGUAGGCUUUCAUUGUUGGUUUGUGGAAUUGUGGCUCUUUUUAUAGGUUGGAAAUCAAUUAUUUUGUGUUAUAUUGCUAUUUUUUGGAUUUUUGUUGGAUUAUUUGUCCACUGUUGUUGUUGGAGUAUAUUAAUAGCCUUCAAUUUUUUGGUGUGGUCCAUAUUGCAAGUUAUAUUAAUAUUGCCAUGAAUAAUAGAUUUUUGUUGGUAUAUUGGACAAAGUGCCUCCUGUGGGCAUUAUUUGAACACAUGAAAGGCUCAUGUUUCCUGUUAAUAGAUUGUUAAUUGUUUAGUUUUAUUACAUCCAUAAAUAAUAGAUUGUUAAUUGUUGAGUUUUAGUAUAUCAAUGAAUAAUUGAUUGUUAACUUUUAUUAACAGAUAAAUGGAAAGAUUUUUAAUAAGACGAAUAUCCACAGAUGGUGCAUCUUCAUAUGCAAAUGCCUCCAAUGAAUUUCCCCAACCUAGCUCUAUUCCAUCAGUGGUUGUUGAAAUUGUUUUGAGUGAACGGUAAACGGUCAACAGAUUGAAUUAUUGUAAUCUCUAACCAACCAAUGUACAUGUCAUUGUUCUUGAAAAAAUUCCGAUUUCUGAUAAUUGUUUCAACUUUAUACUUUAAAGUGAUUGUUCUAUCUAUGCUACUAAGUUCUUGAUUGUUUACUUUGUUUAAAGUGUAAACUGUAAUGUUCUUAUAUAUAAUGUUUAACCAUCAUACUGACUCUGUUCUUGUCUGUAAUGGUUGAAACUUGGAAUAUAUAGUCAGUGUUUGUUUCAUACAAUUCCCGACUUAAUUACUUAAGUAGCUUGUUGAGGUUUGCUAAAAACUGUUAGACAUUUGCAAUUUGCAAAUUUUGUAUGAGAAAUUGGAAAAAAAACUGGGUGCACCUACUGUCACAAAUUUCUGCGUCCACCCCUGCCAUAGAUGUUAUGUUUAAAGCUCCAUAUUUGCUACUAUAAUGUACUUGAUAGUUGACACUCAUUUUGUUUCAUCUUUCUAGGCUAAAUUUACUCCUACGUAUGGCUGAAACUGUUGCUACUAUGGUAGAAGCAGGAGGCAAAACAAAGGAGCAUUAUAGGAUCCAUUGAAGGAAAUAAUCAGCAGCAGGUUAUCCAAAAAUAUGGAUGAAGUCUAUCAAGUUUUGGAUAGUGCAAUAGAAAUGCUAGCUGCAAAAAGGGACGAUCAUGAUGCCAUGGUUCAAAAGCAUAUGCGACAAUGAUGAUGCUAUUAAACGCUUACAUGAAUUGGAAAUCCCGAGUUGCUAAAGAAGUUGAUGAGUUAGAAUUCAUCCAUACAACGGAAAGGGAAAAGUCACGAUGAGUUUUUAUUAAGAAACGUUCCGACUUCACUAAAAAUUUGAAGGAAAAAUCUACUGUGAUCUUUGAACUAAUGAUGGAAGAAACCCAUCUGGCGGAUGUGUUGGUGGAGAGAAAAGUUGCCUGUGUGUUAAAGAUGACAACCUCAAAUAUUUCAAGUGUUCCCAACUCUCCAACACGCACAAGCACAAGUAUUGGGCAUGAUUAAAAAAGGUAGCAGCAGGUGUGUUUAGAGAGAUAGGGAGACUGAGGAGAGUUGACGUGAUGGAUUUUCAAGCUAAAAAAAGUGGCUAGGAAAAGAGAGUGGUGCCAUGAAAGGAAUAUACAUAUUCUUGAAAUGUUGCUUUGAUUUCUUUGAUGAUUCUGAAAUGAAAUGCUUCCUUUACACUGCAUUAUACCUGACUGGAUAGUGACAUCCAAAAGGACAACUUACUAGACAAUUGGGCAGCAGAGGAACUUCUCAACACAAUUGAUGAUUCAGAAGAAACACGUGUCAAUGGACGUGAAGUAUUGCAUUAUCUUAAGAUGCACUCAUUACUUGAGGUUAAUGAACCUCAACAAUGUAUUAGGAUACACAAGCUGAUUCACCUAGCUGCAUUAUAUAGUUUGUCAACUGAUGGAGGCUAAGGAAUUUUGGUAAAAUUUGGUGAAGCACUAGAUAAGCCCGUGGAUGUGGAGUGUUGGGAAAACAAGAGAUGGAUCUAACUGGUUGACAACAAAAUGAAUGCAUUACCAGCCGAACCAAUUUGUCCAAAGCUUUCGACACUAUUCUUGCAGAAAAAUCCAAAUCUGGAAUUUGUUACAGAAGCAUUCUUUAUUUAUAUGAAGAGUCUUCGUGUUCUCAACUUAUAUGAUACGUGAAUCACAUCACUACCAAGUUCUUUGUGGAACCUAAUCUCCUUGAAAGCCCUCUACUUGCAAAAAUGUUUGGAUUUAGUUGAGCUUUUGUCUGAUUUUGUGAAACUGGACUCCCUUGGAGUACUUGAUGCACAGUGAAGCGGACUAGCAAACAUACCGCCUCAAGUCACAGAAUCGAUACACGUAUGGCGGUUGCUGGUAUCCUUUGCUAUGAACACACCUCUUCAAAAUGCAUUUAAGGACGUGAACCUUAUUUCUGAAGUGUAGAAUCUUAAAGAAUUCGUAAUCGAGGCUGAAGAAAAGUUUGGGGAAAGUUUAUGCAGUUUGGUUAUCAGAAAGUUAGGGAUAACAAGACUUUAUCUUCUUCAAUUUUGUUAUCAUAAUGUGGUGAUAGAUUACAUCAAAGCUGCAAGUGGUUGUUGGAGGAUCAAUUUUCUAUGCAAAACUUUCUUCAAAGUUGCAUUAAAGGAGUAGGUUACCUGGAUUAUAAAAAGUGACAAUUUUUUAAAAGUUGUCAUAUAUCAUCGUAUCCAAUCAUUAUGAAGUUUAUGUCUUAUUUCAUGUUCAAUGGAUAAGUUAGCAGAUACAUAAUCUCUCAUGUCCUUCGUGAUGAUGUUGUCAUUGAGUUUGUCAAUCAUAAUGAACUUCAACACUUGUCAAACUUUGCUGCCGAAGAAGUCGAUAGAAUCCGUUUUGUGUUCUAGAAGGUUCCAACAAGAUGAGAACAUUACUAGAUGGUCACAUUAAGGCUGUUUAAUCUUAAAGAAAUUGGAAAAAUUACGCAUGUUGAAGCUGCUACUUUUGAAAAACAUUUGUGAAGGUCCAAUGCAAGGUCUUCUCAUUGGUUUGAAAACAUUUAUAUUGUGCAACUGUCUGAUGUUGACAUCUUUGUGUGCAUAUGGUGCAAUUAUGCAAAUUCGUCAUCUUGACAUCUUUGUGUGCAUAUGGUGCAAUUAUGCAAAUUCGUCAUCUUGACAUCUUUGUGUGCAUAUGGUGCAAUUAUGCAAAUUCGUCAUCUUGACAUCUUUGUGUGCAUAUGGUGCAAUUAUGCAAAUUCGUCAUCUGGAAGUCAAAGGGUGCUCUCAGAUGAAAGAGAUAUUUUAUGGGCCUUCGAAUGUUGGGCUAGUUCGAUUCUACCAAAUCUGAAUAAACUAAUACGCAGUGAUAUUCCACAACUUACAAGUAUAUUGAUGAAUAACUCAUUUGAGUGACCUUUUUUGGAGAAACUUAAGAUUCGUUGUGUCCAAAGUUAAAAAAUUAUCUUUUAAAAAAGAUAGUGUUGUGAAAUUGAAUUUAGUUGAAUUAGAGAAAAGUUGGUGGGAAAUCUUGGAAAACGACUAGGAGGUUAAAAAACAAUUUCAACGCUACUGCACCUUCAGGUAAGAGUCCAUAUAUUUUUGAAAACUUAUUUACACUAAUUGAAAAUUAUUAAUAAAAAUUUAAUUUAUCAUAUUUAUCUUGUUUGAACUUGAACAUAUAUGUAUGUAUGCAUGCAUGCAUGUAUGUAUUUUGGUUAAGUUCAAAGAUGCAUCUUUUUUAUCUAUGAUGGAUUUAAUGGUAAUUAAUAACUUUCAAUUAGUCUAAAUAAGUUUUCAAGGCUCUAUAGAUUCUUACCUGAAGGUGCAACAUUGUUGAAAUUGUUCUUUAACCUCCUGAUCAUUUUCCAAGGUUUCCCACCAACUUUUCUUUACUUCAACUAAUUUCAACUUCAUAACACUAUCUUUUUUUGAAAUAUAAUCUUUUUAACUUUGGACACCCAAGAAUUUUAAUUUCAAAGAAGAUCACUUGAAUCAGUUACUCAUUAAUAUACUUGUAAGUUGUGGAAUAUCAUCGAGUAUUAGUUUAUUCAAAUUUGGUAAAAUUAGAGUAGCCCAACAUUCAAAUGCCCAUUAAAUAUCUCUUUUAUUUGAAGCACCCUUGGACUUAUAGAUGAUGAAUUUGCAUAAUUACAUCAUAUGCACGCAAAGAUGUCAACAUCAGACACUUACACAAUAUCAAUGUUUUCAAACCGACCAGAAGACCUUGCAUUGGACCUUCACAAAUGUUUUUCAAAAGUAGCAGCUUCAACAUGCGUAAUUUUUCCAAUUUUUUUAAGAUUGAGUUGUCUCAAGUGUUACCAUCUACUAUUGUUCUCAUCUUGUUGCAACCUUCUAGAAAACAAAAACGGUUAUAUCUACUUCUUCAGCAGUAAAGUUUGACAAGUGUUGAAGUUCAUUGUGAUUGACAAACUCAAUGACGAUAUCAUCACGAAGGACAUGAGAGAUUAUGUAUCUGCAAACUUUUCCAUCGAACAUUAAAUAAGACAUAUACUCCAUAAUGAUCGGAUACGAUGAGAUAUGGCAACAUAUAAAAAAAAUGACACCUUUUUAGAUUAAGGUUAUCUACUUCUUUGAUUCAACUUUGAAGAAGGCUUUGCGUAGGAAAAUUGAUCAUCCAACUAUCACCUAUAACUUUGAUGUAAUCUAUCGUCACACUAUGAUAACAAAACUGAAGAAGCGAAAGUCUUGUUAUCCCCAAUUUCUUGAAAACCAAAUCGCAUAAAUUUUCCUAAACUUUUCUUCAGCCUCGAUUACGAGUUUUUUUAAAAUUUUGCAUUUUAGAAAUAAGGUCUACAUCCUUGGAUGUAUUUUGAAGAGGUGUGUUCCUAGCAAAGGAUACCAGCAACCACUCUAUGUGUAUCGAUUCUGUGACUUGAGGCGGUACACUUGCUAGUCCGUUUCAUUGUGCAUCAAGUACUUUAAGGGAGUCCAGUUUCACAAAAUCAGACAAAAGCUCAACUAAGUCCAAACAUUUUUGCAAGUAGAGAGCUUUCAAGGAGAUUAGGUUCCACAAAGAACUUGGUAGUGAUGUGAUUCACGUAUCAUAUAAGUUGAGAACACGAAGACUCUUCAUAUGAAUAAAGAACGCUUCUGGAACAGAUUUGGAUUUUUCUGCAAGAAUAGUGUCGAAAGUUUUGGACAAAUUGGUUUGACUGGUAAUGCACUCAUUUUGCUGUCAACCAGUGAGAUCCAUCUCUUGUUUUCCCAGCACUCCACAUCCACGGGCUUAUCGUGUCUUUCUACAAUUUCAUAUGCCAAAUAUCAGCCUCAUAUUUUUCAAUGUUUAUUGUUUGCCUACAAAUCUUCAUGUAUGAUUCACUAUAGCUUUGUCUAUUUCCUUUUUAAUGAGUUAAAAUACUCACCUAAGCUCCUAUAUUUCUCUCUUUUACGACAUUACAUAUCUUUAAUGUGAAUAAAUUUAUAUUUUUGUUUGAAUUUGGUGUUAGGUUUUUCACAAGAAGGAUUGUUGCUUUGUAGAGUUAUGAGAAUCAACACCUAGAGAAGACUGCAUCUCCUCCUAUGCCAUCACUACAAUAAAACGAACCAUCUGUUUUUUUUUACCUGAUGUCAUAAAAGGAUUUUAUCUUUGGAGUUUUAAAAAUAUUCAAACACAUAAAAAUGAACCUUUUGAUGAUAUGUACCGAUUAUUAAGUUAAUUUAGCUGAAUCACUAAUUUGUUGGUUUCUCGGUUUAGUUAAGGUUUAUGUUUUUUAUUCCAGCAUAUAUAAUGCAGUACAUUUGCUUGACAGUAAAUGGAAUGUAGAUUUUUUGUUUGUGUAUGUAAUAAAGGUCAUUUGGUCUCUUAAUUACUCAAUCUAUCGUAUUUACCAAUAAAUUCAAGUAUUCCAUCCAUUUCGUUUUUUAUAAUUGGUAGCUAUCCAAUCUGACAAUAUGAAGUAAUUUUGAAGGGUUCCAUUUGAUGUAAGGUAUGUAACUUUUUAAUCAUAUAAAUGACACUAUAUGAAAUCGUUGACUCUUAUCUAAUUCCAAGAUUAUUUUUUUAGUUUUAUUGAUGAGUCAACAUUCAUUCCUCUGAAGGGGUCCUUUAUUGCUCAAGGUAUCCUCAAAUGGUAAUAAAACAUUGCACUCUCCAAUCAAGGCAUUAUACUUUUAAAUUUUGUCAUUAUAUUUCCACUCUGUUAAAUAUUUUUAUUUUAACUGGACUAAGUUGAGGCCUUUUCUUUUCAUUUAUUAAUUUUACAUCUUAAGUGGCAGAUCAUAAAGAUUGGAAUGGUUGACCGGGAAGUUUGUUGUUACAACAAUAUAAAUGAAGGAGAGAGAAGUGUUGUUGUCAAUGUAAUCAGUAUUCAUUAUUUAUUCAUAUUGGAAAAAGAGAGUAGGAUGUUGUCAAAAUCAUAUUUUGUUUGGGUGAAGAACCACAAAAAUAAAAAUUAAAAGGUAAUUUGAGCAUUUUGCUUUAUACUGAUUUUUUGUUUUCAUGUUUUGCUUAUCAAUAAUGUGUGUUUUUUUUUUUGUUUUUUGUUUUUUGUUUUUUAAACUUUAUGACGUAUAAUUUACUUAUAAGUUAUACAUUUUUAUUUUGUAUAUAAUAACAAUAUGAUCUCCAAUAUUUUUUUUAGUAUUUUUUAGUUUAAUAAUUUACAAAAAAAGUAUAACUUUAAAAGUGAAUCAAAACACAAGCAUUUGACCGUCAAUUUAUAGAUAUUAUGAAUACUAAAACAAAAUGUCUCUUUUAAUAGUUUUUAUAGUCAUUUCCUUGUGUAACAUUAACUUACUUUCGGUAUCUUUCAAAUAAAAUUAUAAUCAUAUUAAUAAAAAACAAGAAGUAAAAAGGAAAUUAAUGAGAGAAAUGUGAGCAACAAGACAAAUGGCUAUAUGUUGAAGUUAAAAUUUUUCCAAUAAUAAUAUAAUAUUAACUUUUAAAGUUUAAAUACGUCAAUUUUUGGUAAAAAUUGAAAUAGUUGGGUACUUUGGUUUUUUAGAUAAUCAACAAUUCUUAAACUCAAUUUAAAACCCAAACCUCAUAUUUGAAACUCUUAAAAUACAAUUUGCUAAUACUUUUUUUUUUUGUUUUGUAGUAUGACAUGUUAUAAAAUAAAUUAUUUGUCAAAAGAAAACUAUGAAGAUUCUUGCAUUUAAUAAUUGCAUGAUAUCUNNNNNNNNNNNNNNNNNNNNNNNNNNNNNNNNNNNNNNNNNNNNNNNNNNNNNNNNNNNNNNNNNNNNNNNNNNNNNNNNNNNNNNNNNNNNNNNNNNNNNNNNNNNNNNNNNNNNNNNNNNNNNNNNNNNNNNNNNNNNNNNNNNNNNNNNNNNNNNNNNNNNNNNNNNNNNNNNNNNNNNNNNNNNNNNNNNNNNNNNNNNNNNNNNNNNNNNNNNNNNNNNNNNNNNNNNNNNNNNNNNNNNNNNNNNNNNNNNNNNNNNNNNNNNNNNNNNNNNNNNNNNNNNNNNNNNNNNNNNNNNNNNNNNNNNNNNNNNNNNNNNNNNNNNNNNNNNNNNNNNNNNNNNNNNNNNNNNNNNNNNNNNNNNUAUAUAUAUAUAUAUAUAUAUAUAUAUAUAUAUAUAUAUAUAUAUAUAUAUACACUAUAUUAUUAAACAUAUUGCCCAUUUCUUGAAAAUUAAGAGGUACAAAACUUAAUACAUCAUUUACAAUCAUAUUAUGCUUAUUGUUACUAGACAUAAAUCUUAUAACGCUUCUAUUGUUUAAUAAUAGUAACUUAUGACGUUUCCUUCUAAUUAACUAAAACGCAUAUGUUUUGUUAAUUGAGAAAAAUUAAACAAUAAUAUCAUUUCAUCCAUUUCUCUUUGACAUCACAGUUUCUCUCAAUCCAAUACCCAUAAACCCUAAUCAGAGAGUUGUCGUCACUGCUUUCAUCCUCAUUUCUCCCACACAAGCAUCGCAUUCGACCUCCAUCUCCACCGUCUCUCUUCAAUCACACCGAUUUUCCGACAACGAACCCCCACCAUAAUCCAUACUUGCCUCUCUCUCUAACUUUAUUUACGAUCCAACCCCACCACCACUCAUCGUUACAAGCAUCGCAAUCGAUGCUUCCCUCACAUCCACCACUAACUGAUGGCCAUGCUCCAAAUCUAUCAUCAGUGACAUGUCCCCUUCAACCAACCCUAACCAAAUAUUUAUCCUUCCUCCAUCUCCGCCCUCCUAUCUACAAUUUCAGGGGAGAUGCAGUCCGCACUUGGGGCUGCUACAGAUGAUGUUGUACUUUCUUUUUUGACAUGAGGAUGUUUUCUUGAUUUCCUUUAAUGACGCGUGUGGUAAUUGAGUUCAUUUAGGUUAUAGGGUUUGAAUUAACUGGAUUGAGUUGUUUAAUGUAAUGUUUGAUGAGUUUUUCUUUUUCUACAGGAAUUUCCCCUAAAGCUUAUCAUCCUUCUUUUGUUAUCUGGGAUGACACACUCUUUCAAUUUGCUGGUAUCUUUUUCAAGAUUCAAGCUAUAUAUUAAAAAAGUGAACGAUUAGUUUGUAUCUUUUUUUGCAAUAUUCAACCUACAACCUUUGGAAAUCGAUGGUAUGUUUGUUUUUUAAGGUACAUCUAAUUGUUUUAAAAUAGAAAAGUGAAAUUUACAUUGUUAUUAGUUUUAAUUUUAAUAUGAUAUAUAAUAUUUUUAAUUGCAUUUGGUUCAUCAGGUCUGUUUAUCUACUUAUGGUUCUUGAUUUUUAGUUAGAUGAACUAUCAAUUAUGGAACUUAAAGCAAUGUUGAAGGGUUGACCUGAUAUUGUUUAUUAUGGGUAAAAGGAAGUUAAUAAAAAUAUACUUGAAAAUAUCAAAAAAUUUGUCUUUAUGACAAUUAAGUGAAUUUUUUGAAGUAGAUUUAUAGAAGGCCAUUGUCGUGUCGUCGAUUACUGCAACAAAUGAUUUUGUUCAAAAGAAACAUGGAUAAACAUAUUCACCUUCAAUUUUCUUCCAUGUCUCGCUUCCAAAACAAAUUCCAACCAAGAAAUAAGAAUCAGAUAUCUAAUGUAGAAGAGCAAUUAGAUAUCGAUUCUAUGUGAAUAGUAAAGUUUCAAAAAUAGAGAAAAAAAUAAAAACAGGUAUGUUUCAAAGGCAAAUUGUUGCUACAUAAUCAGGUAAUGCAUGUGAUUUUGUAGAUUUUAUGGUAAAACAUGUGAUUUUGUGGUAUGAUCGACGAGAAAAUCUCUAUUUUAGGCAAAACUAUGGUCAUGGAAUGUGUAUGAUUAGUAAUUGUAGUCAUUAUUUAUGUAAUUUCUUUGUUUUUUACUUUGUUAUUUGUAACAUACAUAAUUGUAUCUUUUUGUUGGCCUUGAUCUAUGAUCAUCACUAAUUAGACGGGGCUGUUGAAACGAGUUUUGAUGAGGUUCAUAAUGUUUUGAAAUUGCAGGAUACAAAAGCUUGACUAAAUAUUCAGUUGAAAAUAUACAUAAAGUCAAAGGUAAGCUAUAUAGUUUCUUUUUGUAUUUGAUCACAAUAUAUCUGAUGUCCUCACCAUAUUUUCAUGUUGGUCUUAUUUCAAGAAAAAUAAGUAACUUGGACCAUCUACACUUAAUUACAUGUAUUUAAGGGCAAAACAGCCUAAAAAACAUUUGUUCUUGUUGAAAAAUAGGACCACAAGUUCCAAGGACCGCUUUCCUUAUAAAAUGAAUCGUGGUUGAGAAUUCUGGAUACUUUUGUCACUGACAGGUUUUAAUCUGUUUCAUGCAAUGGAAUUUUAAUAUUACAGUAUUAUGGUAAUUUCAUUUGGUGCUUUGUGUAUGAUUUUAGUUUAGAUGAUUAAUGCAGAAUUAUAUUAUUUCAUUUAUGGUCGGCCAAUACAUAUCCAAUACAUAUGAUGUAAGGUGCAUUCAUUACAAAGAGAAUCAUCAGGCUUGUUCACUGAUUUUUCAUAAUUUAUAUUUUCUCAACUUUUUUUUUAAUUUUUUUUAUUUUGAAUUUCAAUAUUUUGUGUUUUAAAGGACAUUGAUGGUGGUGGUGCCGCCUGCACCCUUUAACCAUCCACUGCCAUGGAUGUCAUCACCGAAAUCAUAUUGUGCCGCCUUCAACUACUUUCCAGGUAUUGUCCCUUUCUUUUGGAUUUUCAUUUUCUAAUUCUUUUCUCUCCCUUAAUUUUUCCAUGGUAAUUACUUGGCUCCCUUCACUAUAUCUGAGAAUUUUCGUCUCUAAUUCCAUAUUCCAAUUUUAGAUACACGAUUCUAACCAGAAAUCUGUCAAUGAACCAUUGGUAACAGUAUGGAUCUAUGUUCUUUAGCUGCAAUUUUCAUAUGUUUUAAUAUCAUUUUGAAAGCCUUUAUUGAUAUUUGUAUAGCGGUUAGACAUGUGUUUAUAAACAUUUUUGUUGUUAUUAGGAGACAGGUUUGGGAUAAUCAAACUCAAUGUGUGCAAACAUACACAAAGGUAAGUUAUAUAGUUUUUUAAUCUUUCAAUGGGACUAUAUGUGGGAAUUCAUGAAAGGGUAAUAUAGAAAAAUUCAGCUUAGUUCUUUAACAUGUAAAAGUUGUAUCAGCUGCUACAGAUUGGACUUUUUUGUUGUUUUUAUUCACCUUUUUGAAGUUUUCUUAAGUAUUUGGCUGGUUUUAAAUUGUGGCAAAAAGUUGAUGCUUUGAUGUACUUCUUCUUUGUUAACACUUGGGCGUUCAACCUGUACAAUUUCAUUGGUUUUUAGCUCAAUUUAACUAUUAGGUAAUGAGGAGCAAAACCAAUAUGAUGCUUAUCUUACUGGAGUGAAGAUAUCUUAUUGGAGUUUGUCACAUCUGAUGAGCUUAGUCUAAAAAUGGUUUCUUAUACCUUUGUUUUUAUUUUUGGUGAUAAAGGACCUUUCGUUCUCUCUUGAAAGAAAUUCACAAAAAUAACCAAUUGUAUCUCUUUUUUUCAUAGAAAUCCAUGGAUUUGUUGUAUAGGGACAGUGGGUUUAAAAGAAGUUUGCGGUUAAGAACCUUAGAAAGCUUAAUAUUUUCUUGUAGUUUUCUUAUAUUAUCUUAUAUUCUUUAUUACCUAAAUAUAGUAUGUAGAUUUCAUGUGAAUUAUCAUACACUUGCAAAACAUAAAGAUAUUUUUGAUCCUAAAGCAUUUGUGCUUAAUUUUUUCUAAAAAUGUUAAAAAGGUAAACCAUCAAGUUAUUGGAACCUAGAGAUCAUCAAGUUAUAGUAACAUGGACAUUAAUUAUAAUAAUAAUAGCCAUCUUAUCGCAAAUUUCACAAAUGUAGAUCGUUAAUAAGCUAAAGGUAAAAUUUUCAUAUAUAAGUUUGUACGCAUUGACUAUAAGUGCAUGUGAUUGUGUGUGUUUAUAUAUGUACUAGGCGAAUGUUUGCGCGUUGCGCAGAAGCAUCUAUAUAACUGAAAUCUUUACAAAUAUAUGUUUUUUUUUAAUAUAACAGUAUUGUUGUUGAAUUUGAUAUAAUAAUUUGUAUACUAAGUUGAUAUAAUAUAUUGAUUAUGUUGAAUUAUAUGAUAAUAUAUACAUCUAUUAAAACUGCAUAAUCUCAAUCUUUUGAACUACCUCUACCCACGGGUUACUCAUGAAUAAAAUUAAAUAUAAUAUAUGGUUUAAUGUUAUUUAUAGUUGUUGUUAUUCUUAAUUAAUUUUUUAAAAUUUAUUUGCUUAACAUUUCAAUUUCUAUCAUUGUAAUUAUUUAAAAUAUCAAAUUUUUUAUUUUAAAGAUAACAAUAUAAUAAUUAUAUAGAGUUAUUUUUAACUAUUAUUAUUGUAAGUUAUUUUAAGUUAAUUAUUUAAAAACUUUUAACGAUUAUAAAAAUAUAUUUAGAAAAUAUUUUAGUUAAAUUUAUAUUACAAUUUUGUUUUUGCAUUUAUCACUAUAAUUUAUCACUUUUAACUAUUAACAAAAAUAUUCCUUGGGUUUUUUUUAAGUGAAAGUGAAAUUUAUAUUGAAGUUAACCCUGUAAUGUUAUAUUUAAAUUAACAAAUGAAGUAUUUUGUCCAAACUGUUCAAAAGUUGUAGCUUUAAACUGAUAAUGGUUUACAUACAACAACAUAUUAAAUCUAAUAAAUUUAGUAUAAUAUGUUAAAAGUUAAAGACAUAACUUUAUAAGUAGAAGUAAAAAUAUUAUUUUAAUAUUGAAAUUUAGUUUAUUUAUGAUUACACUUUAGAUUUGAUACUUAUUUAAACUUAUUAAUCAACUUAUAAUCAUUAUUAGAAAUACACUAAAAUUUAGCACUUUUAACUUUCUACAAAAUAUUCUAUAGAUUGUUUAAGUUGAACUAAAAUUUAAAUUUAAGUUGAUUCUAUAAGGUUAUAUUUAAAUUAAUAAUUUAAGUAUUUUAUAUAAAUUUUUCAAAAGUUGUAGCUUUAAAAUGAUACUGGUUUACAUAUAACAACAUAUUAGACCUAAUAAAUUAAGUAUCAUAUGUUAAAAGUUAAAAACAUAACUUUAUAAGUAGAAGAAAAUUUAUUCUUUUAAUAUUGAAAUUUAGUUUAUAUAUGAUUACACUUUAGGUUUUAUAUUUAUUUAACCUUAUUAACCAACUUAUAAUCAUUAUUAAACAGAAAUUUGAAAAGUCAUGGGAGUUUCAAAUGAAUGUGGUGAAAGGAAAAAUGAAUGGGGGUUUCAAAUGUAUGGGAUUCAAGAAAAAAUGUUAACUUUAUAAGUAUGUAUGAUGUGACUUUAUGUAUGUAUAAAACUUAGUUAAUAUGAUUUACGUUUUUUUUUUUUUUUUUUUUUUUUUUUUUUUUUCUCUUCUUUUACGUUUCAUGGAUUUAAAAAUAUGAAAAAUUAAAAGAUUCAUUAUUGUUAGUCAUUCUAUGUUUCUACAUAGUAUGUUGCUAUUUGUUCCAAUUUCCCAUUAAUAUUUGUGGUCACCUAAUGAUCGCCAGUUAGGAUUUUACACCUAUAAAAAAUCGAUUUUCGUAUAUUAAAUAUCUAUUGUUUUCAUUAAUUAUUUCUUCAAUAUAUUGUUUAUAAGUUUGAGAGGUUUCCAAAGACCAGUUUUCACCCCUUGUACUAUCCCGAAUGCCCAAAAAAUACAUUUCUAGAUAUUAAAAGUUAGAAAAAAAAAUAUUGUUUUGAACCCCCUAAAUGGUCCCAAAUGCCCGCAAAACAUCUUAGCUCACGGUGUAGCCAUGAGUUGUACUUAUUUUCCCACCACAUUGUACGAAUAUGCAUCUAGCUAGAAACUACCCAUUGAAAUGAACUAUCCGGCACAAAACAAGCCGCCAAAAAGCGGUAAGGAACUUGUGCCUAAAGGAAACUAAUUGUAUCUAGGAACGAAUUUCUGAAAAAACUAUUCGCACCCGUCGCUUGGCGCGGGUAACGGCUAGUAUAUAUAUAUAUANNNNNNNNNNNNNNNNNNNNNNNNNNNNNNNNNNNNNNNNNNNNNNNNNNNNNNNNNNNNNNNNNNNNNNNNNNNNAUAUAUAUAUAUAUAUUUCAAAUUAGCUUAUAGAAGUUAUUUUUUCCACCUGUGUAUGUGAAAACUAAAAAUUUUAAUGCAUAAUGAAUGGAGAAACGGAUUGUAUACACUAAUGUUAAGAUUGUUUUUAGAUUAAAAAUUAAACUUUAACCUACACGGUAUUACAAAAUAGAAUUAUUAUUUUGUUAAUCUUAUAAUUCCAUUUUUGAGAUUAAGUGUAAUUUUUAUGACAUUCAGUUAUUUACAAAAACUAAAAUAUAUAGUAAGUUUGUCCACCAUAUGCUUAGAAAAAGAUAUCAUACUAUUAUGGAGCAUUAAAUGUCAUUCUUUUUUAGUUAGUAGACAUACAAAUAAAAAUCCGGUACAAAAUUCAUUAAGAAAACAAGUUUAAAGAUUUUGUAUUGGUUUGAGGGCUUUGGACUAUUUUUCGAGCCAUAUUAUUAUGUUAAAGUUUUUAAUUUGUAAGUUUGCUAUAUACUAAUUCUUCCUUUUUUUAUAUAUAUUUUUCUUGGUUUAAGUAUUCUUUUAAGACAAUCGUUGUAUGUUGUGGUUGAAACUUUAAUGUAAAUUAGAUUAGAUUCAUGUUAUCGAUCAUAUGUUAUGAAAAGUGAUAUAGAUAAUAUUUAAUUAAAUAUUAUAUAUAUAUUUUUGUAUGUUUGUGUUGCUUUAAAGUAAUAAUUAAUAAAAAAUCAUGGAUAUGCAAUAUUAUCCAUAGUAUCCAUAUAAGUCUCUUUUAAAAUAUAAAUUGUCUAUCUUAUCAAUUUAUGUUUUUAGUACAUGUUUAACAUUUUAAUUAUAAUAAUAAGUGUCUUUUAAAAGCUUUCUUUCGUUUAUUAAUAAUAAUAUAUAAGUGGUUUUAAAACUAAUGAACCAUAAUUAUAAAUAAUAAAAUCAAAUUAUAAAAAUCAUGGAUAUGUCAUAUUAUCUGUAACAUCCAUGAAAUUCACACCAAAUUUAAACUUUUUCAAUCGUAAAUAAAACCAUAAAGCAUUAUUUACAAAAUGUUUUCAAAUCAUUUUCCAUCAGAGUGUCCCAAAAAUCAUAACAUAAGGAUGAGGAGCGGUACGGUCACGCCUUCGCCUUUCCAUGGUCUCCUGAUGUACCUGAAACAACAAACUGAAAACUGUAAGCCCGAGGGCUUAGUGAGCUACACCCAAAAUACCAAUACCACACUGACAUUACCAAAACAGUAACAAUCAAUCAAUCAUCACGCAUACUGGGCCAUUGGCCUGACUGCACCGCCCUACCGGGCCUAUAGUCUGUCUGAAUCUAUCCCGAGCCUUCGGCAUGACUGGUCCGCCACGUGGGCCUACAGUCUCCCCGGACCGCUCAUAGGGUAUGUUGGCCUUCAGCACAAAGCAUGACUGCCUCAACCCAACCAACAAGCAAAUAACCAUGUGCGCAUAGCUAUCAUAUACUGGCAUAUACAAACAUCAAGCAUAUCUAUCUCACUGAUCACAAUCAUAGAAUUCACCUGUAACUAGAGUACCAACCUAUCAGGUCCCUAACACACCAAUCCCAACAGAUCAUAAAAGCAUAACAUACUGUCUACCUCGAUUCCGAACUAACAAAUCAUAAUCACAUGCAACAUGCCAUAACAAUAACAACUCAAGGGCCGACCUUGGUGCCGUAGACCCUAUCGAUAUAGUGAGGAUAACUCGCCUCGCAGAUGUCGACUCGGAAGGUAGACUCCAACUCUCGGAUCACUCGACACAGGCCCCACCACCUAUAACCAUAGUUCAAUAUACGCAUAAGCCUUUAACCUUAUAAGGUACUCCAUAACCUAAUAGUCGACCCCUGAUCAAGGUCAAAGUCCUCAGUUAAGGUUAACAGUCCAUGUUGACCUCAACUCGCAGAGUACACCUAGCUACUCACCGAGUCCCUUGAAGCACAAUCCAACUCGCCGAGUCAUCGAGGGAACUCGUCGAGUUCCUUUGAAUCCCGAUCAAACCUUAAGGCCACCUGUCGAGUUCCCUCCUUGCAACUCGACGGAUAUACACGCAAACAUAGUCUUGGUUAUAACUCAUCUGACUCGCUGAGUUGUUCUUCAACUCAUCGGGUCCCUUGACAAUCUUCAUCGGACUCGCUGAGUUGUUCUUCAACUCGUCGGGUCCCUUGACAAUCUUCAUCGGACUCGCCGAGUUGUUCUUUAACUCGUCGAGUUCAAUGACCAUCUUCAUGCGACUCGCCGAGUCCAUUUAGUCCUCUUUCCAUACAGAUCCAUUUUGAGCCAUGCAGCGGCUCCAAAUCGCAGAUCCAAGCUUCUAGGGCAUGCUUAUCAAGUUAAGUUGCAAACUUUACGUGCAUGCAUGGCUUAAAAGGCUCAAAAUGGCAAAUCUAAGCUAUUGAUGGGUCUUCAUGCACAAAGGGGACCUCAAUCACGACUAAAGCUGCAACUUUAUGUUUCUAGAACCCCAAAAGAGUCCAGAUCUGAAGUUACAACUUCAGAUCUAGCCCAUAGCUCAUCAUACCAACUUGAUAUUUCAUGAAAACCCUAAAACUCACCCAAUAAAGGAGAUCUAUAAGGAGAAUGACGGUUUUGGUACCUUUUGAAGUUGAUAUCUGAGAUGAGUGUUGAUUCCCACACUCCAAUUGCUUCAAUCUCCUUCUCCUCCAAGACUUCUCCCUCCAAGAACUCUCUUUCAAGCUUCAAACACACACAAAAGGCACACACACACGAAUAAGGCUCUCAAGGGUUCUUUGGAACUGUAAGGAGGUCCAAGGGAGGCUAAGGUCCAUUUAAAUAGGGGUGCAAACCCCGGGAAUUAGGGUUUCACUUGCCAGCUCCUACUCGCCGAGUAGGUCACUUAACCCGCGAUCCUUCUCACUGCUACUCGACGAGUAGGUAAACCAACUCGUCGAGUAGGGCCAAAUCCAAAAAUACAUAUUACCAUACCUGAGAAUCGGGGCGUUACAACUCUCCCCCACUUGAACUAGACUUCGCCCUCGAAGUCCGCUGGAAUGAACAGUGUCGGGUAAUGCUCGCGUAUCUUCGCCUCCGGCUCCCAUGUCCAUUCGGAUCCCUUCUGAUGCUCCCACUGUACCUUCACUAAAGGUAUUUCCUUGUUCCGCAUAAUCUUCUUCUUCCUUUCCAAAAUAGCCACAGGCCUCUCCACAUAGUUCAGGCGCUCAUCAACCUGAAUGUCAUCCAACGAUACCACUGCCUCCUGGUCCAUAAUGCAUUUUCGCAACUGCGAAACAUGAAAUGUGUUGUGGAUUCGGCUAAGCUCCUCUGGAAGCUCUAGCCUAUAAGCCACCCUGCCAAUCCUGGCGAUAAUCCUAAACGGCCCAUAUAAUGGGGACCCAAUUUUCCCCUCUUCCUGAAGCGGAUCACACCCUUCCAUGGUGAGACCUUUAGAAGAACCAUGUCCCACCUGAAAUUACAGCUCAGAUCGGCGUCGGUCGGCAUAACUUUUCUGCCGGCUCUGUGCGGUCUGCAAUCGCUGUCUAAUCUGCUGUAUCAUUCUGUUAGUUUGCAGAACUACCUCUGUCCGACCCAUCACUCUGUGCCCAACCUCGCCCUAGCAAACUGGGGUCCUACACUUCCGUCCAUACAACAGCUCGAAAGGCGGCGCGCCAAUACUGGAAUGAUAGCUAUUGUUGUAGGCGAGCUCUGCAAGCGGUAGGUGGGAAUCCCAACUCCCACCAAAAUCAAUAACACACGCCCUCAACAUAUCCUCGAGGGUCUAAAUGGUCCGCUCACUCUGCCCAUCAGUCUACGGAUAGAACGUUGUACUAAAAUGCAGUCGUGUACCCUGUUCCUCAUGGAACUUCUGCCAAAAAUGGGAAGUAAACCUGACAUCUCGAUCGGAAACGAUAGAAACUGGAACCCCAUGGCGAGAGACAAUCUCUCUGACGUACAGGUCGGCCAACUUCUCUGUCGACGAACUUUCCCGUAUGGCUAGGAAAUGGGCACUCUUGGUCAAUCGAUCCACGAUGACCCAUAUAGCAUCAAACCCCCUUGCCGUUUUUGGUAACUUCGUGAUGAAAUCCAUAGUGAUCCUUUCCCAUUUCCACAUGGGAAUCUCCAGAGGUUGUAACUUACCAUGCGGCCUCUGAUGCUCGGCCUUGACCAUCCUACAGGUCAAGCACCUCUCAACAAACCAAGAGAUAUCUCGCUUCAUAUCAGGCCAUCAAUAACUCGAACUCAAAUCACAGUACAUCUUGGUGGCUCCCGGGUGAAUCGAAAAAUGAGACUUAUGAGCCUCAUCCAUCACUGUCUGCCGGACCCCUUCGGACAUCGGAACCCAAACCCGACCGUAACGGGUCAACAAUCUGCGGCUAUCCUGAACAAUCGGGCGCUUUCGCCCUUAAUCCUCUCCAACUUCCAGUUCUCCGGCCUCAUGCCCUCAAUCUGAGCAUCUAUGAUCAAACCCACCGGUGGGGAAUCCACUGCUAUCCUCAUACACCUGGCUGGGGUCGAGGACCCAACUGACUUGCGGCUCAGAGCAUCCGCAACCACAUUCGCUUUACCAGGAUGGUAAAGGAUCUCGCAAUCAUAGUCCUUGACCACAUCCAGCCACAUGCGCUGCCUCAUGUUCAGGUUCGACUGAUCCAUGAUGUGUCUCAAACUCUUGUGAUCCGUGUAUAUAGUACAACGGACCCCGUACAUAUAGUGCCUCCAAAUCUUGAGAGCGAACACCACCUCUCCCAACUCAAGAUCGUGCGUAGGGUAUAUCGUCUCAUGCAACUUCAGCUGCCGCGAUGCGUAGGCUGCCACUCGUCCCCUCUGCAUGAGGACUACCCCUAAGUCGGUGAUGGAUGCAUCACAAAAUACCACGAAGUCCUCCACUCCCUUGGGGAGUGUCAACACCGGCGCCUCUCAUAAACACCGCCGGAGGGUCUCAAACGCCCUCUGCUGCUCAGGGCCCCACCUGAAAUCCACCCAUUUCCUCGUUAGACGAGUGAGGGGUACGACAAUCUUGGAGAAAUCACGAAUGAAUCUCCGAUAAUACCCUACUAAACCCAAGAAAAUCCUGAUGUCUGAGGGAUAUUUUGGAGUCUCCCACUGUAUUACCGCCUCCACCUUGGUCGGAUCGACCAAAAUCCCCUCCUGAUUAACGAGAUGUCCGAGGAACUGGACCUCUCGUAACCAAAACUUGCAUUUCGAGAACUUGGCAUACAUCCGUUCUCGCCUCAGAACCCCUAGCAGCUCCCUAAGAUGCUCCUCAUGCUACUCUUGAGUCUUGGAAUACACCAAGAUAUCAUCUAUGAGCACAAUGACCGAGCGAUCGAGCAUCGGUCUGCAGACUCGAUUCAUCAGAUCCAUGAACACCGCUGGCGUGUUGGUGAGCUCAAAUGGCAUCACCACGAACUUGUAAUGACCAUAACGAGUUCGAAACGCGGUCUUUUCCACGUCCUCCUCCCUCACCCUGACUCGGUGAUAUCUUGAUCUCAAAUCAAUCUUGGAAAACCAAGACGCACCCUGCAGCUGAUCAAGGAGAUCAUCUAUCCUCGGGAGUGGAUAACGCUUCUUCACCGUUAACUUGUUCAACUCCCUAUAGUCAAUGCACAUCCUGUGCGAACCGUCCUUCUUCCUGGCGAAAAUGAUCGGUGCUCCCCAGGGUGAACUACUCGGACGAAUAAACUGCUUGCCCAGCAGCUCCUGCAACUGAGAUGAUAGCUCCUGCAUCUCAGGCGGUGCCAGUCGAUAUGGCGCCUUGGCGAUAGGGGCCGCAUCUGGCACUAAGUCGAUCCUGAACUCAACCUGCCUCUCCUGGGGCACUCCGGGUAACUCUUCUGGAAACACAUCAGCAAAUUCCCUCGCCACCGGGACCUCAGAAACUGAGAGCUGCUCUCUAACCCGCGUAUCUACCACAUAUGCCAAUUAACCAGCAAACCCGUGCUAAAUAUAUUGACGAGCCCUGGCUGCCGAACAAAACCCUGAUCCCAACCUGGUGCCCUCACCAUAUACUACAAGUUCUCCCCCACUUGGGGUUCGAACCACCACCCGCUGACCCUCACAGUCGAUCAUGGCGCCAACACGGCUAAGCCAAUCCAUCCCUAUAAUCACGCAUACAUCCCCUAUGGGGAUAGGAAUCAAAUCUAUCAGGAAGGACACCCCGAAAAUCUCUAACUCGCAUCCCUGGUAGACCGAAGAAGCAGAAAACCCAUGCUUGUUGGCGAUCGAAACUCGCAACGGACACUCAAGAUCAUCUAUCGGCACACUGACCCUCUAGAGAAGGACUGAGAUACAAGCGACCGACUCGCCCCCGAGUCAAAUAAUACCAAGGCAGGAAAAGAAUUUACUAAAAACGUACCUAAUCACAGGUACAAUCAAUAAGCAUAACACAAAUACAAUAACUGAGACAGAGAAUAGAAACGUACCAGCAACCACAUCUGGUGCUGACUUAGCCUCCUCGGCCGUGAGCUGGAAGGCGCGACCCUGAGCCUUCGGAGGCUCCACCUUGACUGGCCUCCCAUCUCCAAUCCUCGCAGCAGCUGGCGCGAAACCCUGCGCCGGCUUGGCGGCGAGCUGCGGACAGUUGGUCUUCACAUGACCAACCUGAUGAAAAUGAUAACAAAUCUUCAUAUCUGCGGGAGAGGCGGACUGAUGGCAGUCCUUGGCAUAUUGCCCCUCCUUGCCAUAUUUGUGGCACCCACCUCCUGCUCUACAGACUCCCGAAUGAGCCCUGCCACACUUUCCACAAGUGUGGCUCUGCUGACCCCCAGACCGUGUAUCAGCGGUCUUAGACCGCUUAGGUGCCGGCUGAGACUGUGCCGGUGCCUGACGCUGCUCCUUCAGCUGCAGCUCUAUCUCCAACUCACGCUGUCGCGCGGCUUCCUGAAGGUCCAGGAGGGUAUCACAUCACUGGGUAGACACAAACUGUCGAAUAUCAGUCUUGAGCAUACUCAGAUAACGAGUCAUCUGAGACUGCUCUGAAGCAAACUCCGGGCAAAACAUAGCCCUCUCCAUGAACAUACGAGUGAUCUCCAUCACAGACUCCCCAUCCUGUCUCAAUGUCAAAAACUCCUGAGCAAGCCGCUCCUGNNNNNNNNNNNNNNNNNNNNNNNNNNNNNNNNNNNNNNNNNNNNNNNNNNNNNNNNNNNNNNNNNNNNNNNNNNNNNNNNNACCUUGAAAGAGCUACGAUUGCCGGUCACACAGAACGUAGCGGGUGUGAAACAUAUCCUGGAACUGCUCCCACGUAAUUGUUGGAUAAGGUGUCUAAGUCCAUAACUAUUUCGGGCUUGUACUUGACCCGACCCGGCAUGGUCCAUUUGGGUUGCAUGGCACCAUGCAAUUGGAUAGACUUAAUGAGAGAAAUAACACUUGGAGAUUAUUAAUAUAUUAUAAGUUCUAAUAUAUUAAUAAUAUUAUUUGAUUAGUUGAUCAAAGAAUUAAUUUGGAAUUAAUUAAGUGAUCAAAGGAUAACUAAUUAAAUAUAUGGGUUGAUUAUGUAAAUCAUCCAUAUCUUGUAUAGUGGGCUAAGAGGCUCCAUGGAUUAUCAAGUUGGGUUCUACCCAUAGGAUGCUCCAUGGAUGCUCCAUGGGAGUUACAAACCCAUGGGUCAUGGAAAUGAAGAGUCAUGACACAUUAGGGUUUACAUGGUGUAACCCUAGAUGUGUCAACACUAUAUAAGAAGCAUAUUCUCCACCAAAAUCGGCUACACUAAGAAACUAGAGGGCUUGGCCGAUUUUGAGAAGUGUGUGUUAUCUCAAGAGUCUUUCCAAGAGCAUUUGGUGUUGUGUGAAGCAUUUGAGGCAUCACACUUGGGGUGCUAGGCUCACAAGGUUUCAAGGAACACAAGCAACAACAAGGUAAGUUAUUCUAUCUAUGAUUCAAGUUAAAAUUGUUCCCCAUGUAUGCUAGAUAGGAAUAUAACCUUGGAAUUCAACUUUGCAUGAUAAUUAGACAAACAUAGAUCCAAGGUUAUUAGGGUUGCAUGUACACUUAGGAAGUGUUAGAAUGCUCAAAACCCAUCAGUGGUAUCAGAGCCUAGGCUUGUUUGUUUGUUAUUUGUGCUUAAAAGUUGAAGAAAGUCGAAAAUCUUGCUGUCUGACUGAUGGACUCGGCGAGUCCAUGGGGAGGACUCGUCGAGUUCAUGUGUAUCUUCAACCUACUCGGCGAGUAGGUUUAUGCACUCGGCGAGUAGGGUCGACAGAGUGCAGAAUUUCGACUUGAGUUGCUGGAAAUGGAUUAGAAUCAUUACCCUAAAAUGUUUUGGUACUUGAAAACUUAUUUUAGAAGGUGUAAUGUCUUUUCUAACUCAUUUACAACAACUAGUUAUCAAAAUUACAAAGAUUAAAUGUGAUUUUGAUUCUUGAAAGUGUUCAUAUUCAUAUUCUUGUUCUUAUGAUGUUUAGAUGAUCAUAGGAAUUAUUUGUAACCUAUGUGGUAGAUUAAUUCAUGAUCAUAAUGUGUUUUAAUGGAGUCCAUAACUUGUCCUCAAGUUAUGGAAAACCAAAAGUCUCUUGGAUUAAAAACCAUUAAAAGAACACAAGAGUUAGGAAAAAUGAAAAGUCCUCAUUUUAUUACUCUAUUAAACUCAUAAGUUACAAGAAAUGAAAAGUUUUGAAAGUUUACAAAACUUGCCCUCAAGUUUUGGAACAAGUAAAGUUAAGUUAAAACUUUAGUUCCAACCCCUAGAAUUUUAAAAGUUAAAAUUCAACCCUUAUACUUAUAUUAUUAUGAUUUAAUAAUUAUAUAUAUAUGUAUAAGAACAAAGUCGUCUUACCGCUAGUACGCCUCAUUCACGAAGCCGGUCUAUAAGGUGGGUAUAAGGUUGUUGCCUAUAAAAUGGUGACUUAAUGGGUGUCCACUCUCACCCACCGCUUGCUUGAUCGGUGGAGGGUCGUUAGCCGAACGGGUAAGACAAGGACUUAUUAAUUCUCAUUCAAAGUAUGAUGAAUAUUAUAAAGUAACUAAAUGUUUUAUUAAAUUCCCAAUCUUAGUUACUUUAGGAAAAAUGUGAAUAAGGUGCUAUUCCAUGAAAUUACACUUUACACUUUGAUUAAGUCGUUGGUGGAGCGUGUGUGGUUAACCGGCACACUAACUUGGACUUAACAAGGUAGGUAAAGGGUGACUUAGGGUUUAUUAUAGUAUCGAUGGAGCGUGUGUGGUUAACCGGCACAUCGAUUGAGUGAUAAACUUUAAGGGUACCAAGUGAUUUGCAUGGUUACUUCACACCUCGUUUUGUGAUCCUCGGUAUCCCAGUCACAAAACUUGGAGGGCACACUCGAGAUUGAAACAUGCCUUUGAAAAGUUCAUUGAAUCUCAAAGAAUCUAGGAAUUUCUAAGAACCAUUCAAAAACCUAAUACUAAAAUAUUGCGGUUUUCGUGGUGGAAAUUGGUGAAUCGUCAUUCACCUACCUUUCAAAUAUGAUAUAGCUUAGAUUACGGCAUACCUCUUCUAAGUUAUAUUAUAUUGUGAUUGGAUCCUAGCCUUAAUAUUACAUUUGGGUGUUUUAUUAAGGACUCUCUUAUAUCUAAACUAAUCUUGUCCUCUUUCCUUCAGAUGUCUUUCAACAAUGCUUCUGGCUCUAAUCCUAAUGGCUCCUUUACCCUUAUGAACUUGUGUGGGAAAGUCACCUUUGAUGGAUCCAACUUCAAUGAGUGGAUCAGAAACAUCAGGAUGAUUACCCGCUACGAGGACAAAGAAUAUGUCCUUGACAAGGAGCUUAAGGAGAUUGAUGAGUCCACUGCAACUCCUCAGGAGAUCGCUGAAUUUCGGGCACAUGAAAGGGAUGCUACGAAAGUGGCUUGCAUCAUGAUGGCCACGAUGACAGCGGAACUCCAAAAGUCUUAUGAGGAUUUCUACCCUUAUGAAAUGCACCAAGAUUUGAUGGAAAGAUACCAUCAAAGUGCAAGACAAGAGAGGUAUGAAAUCAUCUGCUCCAUGAUAACAACCAUGAUGAAGGACGGGGAAUCCGUCACGAGCCACAUGCAGAAAAUGCAAAGGUAUGUGGAUCGUUUGCUGAAGCUUAAUGUGAACUUCCCGGAGGAUCUUGCAAUAGAUAUUAUUUUGCAUUCCUUACCAUCGUGCUAUGAUCAAUUCCGCAUGACAUAUCACAUGAACAAGGAAGAAGUCACCCUCAGCAAACUUCAGGGACUUCUCAAGACCGCAGAAUCAGGUCUUAAGGGGAAGUCGGUUGCUAUCACUCCUACUCAAAACUCUACUCCGGUUUUGGCAAUCGGGAAAAGUCGAGGGAGGAAGAGAAAGAGCUCUUCUAAGGGUACCAAGGUUCGGACCCUUGAUGGCUCUUCUUCAAGUGGAACCAAGAAAGGUUUCAUUACUCCUUCUUCUGACCCAAAAGAGGCUGAAUGCUUCUAUUGCCAUGAAAAAGCUCAUUGGAAGCGGAACUGCCCAAAAUACCAGCAAGAUGUGAAGGAUGGGAAAGUUAAACCCAACCAUGCAGGUAUUUACACUAUCAUUUCUAAUAACUCACCCCAUUCUAAUUCUUGGGUCCUUGAUACCGGGUGUGGUAUUCACAUUUGUUGUGACUUGCAGGGACUAAGAAGAAGUGAGGAUGUGGAGCAAGGAAGGAUAAACUUGAUCAUGGGGAAUAGGAAAGCUAUACCUGUUACCAAGAUUGGAGUUUAUACUUUAUCGCUAAGUAGUGGGUUUAGUUUAGAUUUGAAUAAGUGUUGUUAUUCGCCAGGAAUGGCAAGAAAUAUUAUUUCCUUUCAUGCUUUGUACAAACAAGGGUUUACCUUUUCAUUUAAUAAUGAAGUUGGUUCUAUAGAUGUUUUCUAUAAUAAUGUCUUUUAUUUUAAAGCAUUACCUUGUGAUGGUGUGUAUGAAGCUGUAUCUGUUGUAGAUAACUUGGGAAAUAAUGUUUUGUGUAUUGAUUCUACUAAUAAUAACUUGGAUAAAGCAUCUUUAUGGCAUUGUCGUCUUGGACAUAUAAGCAAGAAACGCAUAGGCCAACUCCAAAAGGAUGGAGUCUUGGAGUCGUUUGACCUAAAGUCAGAUGAUAGUUGCGAAUCAUGCUUACUUGGAAAAAUGACAAAGUCACCCUUCACAGGUUCGUGUGAGAGGGGUGAAGGUUUGUUGGACCUUAUACACACGGAUGUGUGUGGACCAUUCAAACAUGCCACAAGGGAUGCUAAUCGUUAUUAUUUGACUUUUACUGAUGAUUAUAGUAGAUAUGGAUAUGUCUACUUGAUCAAGCAUAAGUCAGAGACUUUCGAGAGGUUUAAGGAAUUUAAACAGGAAGUCGAGAAUCAAUUGGGCAGGAACAUUAAGAUGCUUCGAUCCGAUCGUGGUGGUGAGUAUCUUAGUUCAGAGUUCCUCGACUAUCUAAGGGAAUGUGGGAUAGUCUCACAAUUGACACCUCCCAGGACACCACAGUUGAAUGGUGUGGCUGAGAGGCGUAAUCGAACCUUGUUAGAUAUGGUUCGUUCCAUGAUGAGUCGAGCUACGCUACCAAUCUCAUUCUGGGGGUAUGCCUUAGAGACUGCCGCCCAUAUUCUUAAUCUAGUCCCUACAAAGAAAGUUGCCAAAACUCCUCACGAGAUGUGGACUGGUAAAGUACCUAAACUAGACCACAUCAAGAUUUGGGGUUGCGAGGCUUUCGUGAGACGCGAGACUCAUGAUAAGCUCGAACCUCGAAGCGAGAGGUGUAUUUUCAUCGGUUACCCACAGCGAUCCUUUGGUUACCUCUUCUACAGACCUAGUGACAAUGUGGUCUUUGUAGCAAGAAGAGGAGUCUUUCGAGAAAGAGAGUUUAUAAGCCAAGGAGACAGUGGGAGGCAAAUUGAUCUUGAAGAAAUUCAAGAAUCAAGCGGUGAAGGAACUUCAAACUCUAGCCCUCAACUUGAGGAGGAAACUCCUGUUGAGCCAAUUGACAAAUCUGUACCUCUGAGACGUUCCACGAGAGUUAGGAGUGCACCUGAGCAUUACUAUGGAUUCCAUAUUACUGCAGAAGGUGAGACACUUAUUAGUGAUGAGACACUAGUAAGUCAAGAUGACCCUAACAGCUACGAGGAAGCCAUGGCAGGCCCCGAGUCUGCUAAAUGGAAAGAGGCUAUGGAUAGCGAGAUACAAUCCAUGUAUGACAAUCAAGUUUGGAACUUGGUUGAAAAUGUACCAGGUCGUAAGACAGUAGGGUGCAAAUGGGUCUUCAAGAAGAAGACCGACAUGGAUGGUAAAGUACACACUUAUAAGGCUAGACUGGUUGCAAAGGGCUUCUCUCAAAUUCCUGGAGUGGAUUAUGAUGAGACCUUUUCUCCGGUAGCCAAGAUUAAGUCUAUUCGGGUUCUGUUAGCCAUAGCUGCAUUUCAUGACUAUGAAAUAUGGCAGAUGGAUGUCAAAACCGCUUUCCUUAAUGGAAAGUUGGCUGAAGAUGUUUACAUGAGUCAGCCAGAGGGUUUUGUCAGCAACGAGUACCCUAAUAGAGUGUGUAAGCUUGAGAAAUCCAUUUAUGGAUUGAAGCAAGCACCUCGCAGAUGGAAUCUUUGCUUUGAUGAAAAGGUCAAGGAAUUUGGCUUUUCUAGGAGUGAAGAUGAAUCUUGUGUGUAUGUCAAGGCUAGUGGGAGUAUAGUUAGCUUUUUGGUAUUGUAUGUGGAUGACAUACUACUCAUAGGAAACGACAUUCCAACCCUGCAGGAAGUAAAGUCCUGGCUUGGGAAGUGUUUCGCUAUGAAGGACCUUGGUGAAGCUGCCUAUAUUCUAGGGAUAAGAAUCUUGAGAGAUCGGAGUAAAAGACUAAUUGGACUUAGUCAGAGUACCUACUUGGAUAAGGUGCUGAAGAGAUUCAGCAUGCAGGAUUCCAAGAAAGGAGAGUUACCCAUCCAGAGUAACACCAGAUUGAGUAAGACACAAAGCCCUAGCACUGAGGCUGAGAUAGCAGAAAUGAGUCGAACACCUUACGCUUCGGCUGUAGGAUCGAUCAUGUAUGCUAUGACGUGUACUCGACCCGAUGUAGCUUUUGCCUUGAGCAUGGUUAGCAGGUAUCAGGCGAACCCUGGCAAGGCACACUGGACUGCGGUAAAGAAUAUCCUCAAGUACCUACGGAGGACUAAGGACUGGGUCCUUACCCUCGGUGGGAGUGAUGACUUGAGAGUUGUAGGGUAUAGUGAUGCUAGCUUCCAGACUGAUAGGGAUAAUUUCCGCUCUCAGUCGGGCUGGGUCUUUACCCUAAACGGAGGAGCAAUUUCUUGGAAGAGUUCCAAGCAAGAGACAGUGGCAGAUUCUACUUGUGAAUCAGAGUAUAUUGCAGCUAGCGAAGCAGCAAAGGAGGCGAUAUGGCUGAAGAACUUCAUUGGAGACCUUGGAGUUGUACCAGCUAUUAAAGAGCCAAUGGAAAUUUUCUGUGAUAGUGAAAGUGCUGUUGCCUUAGCCAAGGAACCAAGGGAUCAUGGGAGAUCCAGACACAUCGACAGAAAAUACCAUUUCAUUAGACAUCGGAUCGAAGAAGGACUCCUCGUGGCAAAGAGGGUAUCAUCGGAUGAGAACCCAGCAGAUCCCCUCACGAAGGGACUGAGUAGGGUUAAGCAUCUCCAGCAUGCUCGGAGCAUAGGGCUGAAGGAUGAUAUAAGUUUUAGUAGUUAGAUAACCCAGAAAUUUGUAAAGUGUAAUUGACAUUUGAUGAUGAAUAAAAGGUGUUUUAUUUAUGAGUAAAGUGUUGCUAUCUCUUGUCAAUCGUUUACUAUAUUUCUUUUGCAUGUUUUGACUUCCAGAAUAAUUUUGUUUGGUGUAACAUAUUAUUCAAACCUCCACAGUCGGUCAUAUGUCGGAAGUAGGUAUGAAUCAAGACUGUCAUGAUGGGUUGUAGAGGUCUAAGGUGUUGGACAAGGCUACAACAAUCAUGAGUGCUCAUAAGUUCUGAGCAUUGGACUCAACCCACGCUCACUGGAAUCACUUCAUGGAAUUCUAUCUCGAGUGAUCGUGAGACGGUAAUAUCAUAUAAGUCUUCAAACCUAGAGAUAUGAUUUGUUACUUACAAGUUGGUUAUGCAUUGACUGUACGAAACCGCAUUGGUAACUCGAUGUUAUAAAACGUACUUUUGUGUGUAAUUCAAUGAGUGGUAGAACAAACAUAUGAGUCGAAGUUUAUCUGUUCCUUCUUGGAUUAGAAGCUGAUAUCUGGGCCCCUCGAUGAUUUUGUUUUGACCCAUGUACCGGGCCCGGUCAGAACUAAGUUGAUGUGUUCAAUUAAGUUCUAUGUCAAACAAAUCGGAAAUCGGGAAACAAAUGCUGGACAAUAAGCAAGACAAUGUUCCAUGUAUUUGUCCGGCUGAUAUCUAGAACGGAGGAUUAUAUGAUCACUUAUCUUAAAUGGCGUACCAUCAUCUUCUCAGUUCCGAGAGACCUUGAAAGAGCUACGAUUGCCGGUCGGUUCCUGAAGUACUAGAGAUAUAGUUAUUAGACUUAUCCAAGUGGGAGACUGUUGGAUAAGGUGUCUAAGUCCAUAACUAUUUCGGGCUUGUACUUGACCCGACCCGGCAUGGUCCAUUUGGGUUGCAUGGCACCAUGCAAUUGGAUAGACUAAAUGAGAGAAAUAACACUUGGAGAUUAUUAAUAUAUUAUAAGUUCUAAUAUAUUAAUAAUAUUAUUUAAUUAGUUGAUCAAAGAAUUAAUUUGGAAUUAAUUAAGUGAUCAAAGGAUACCUAAUUAAAUAUAUGGGUUGAUUAUGUAAAUCAUCCAUAUCUUGUAUAGUGGGCUAAGAGGCUCCAUGGAUUAUCAAGUUGGGUUCUACCCAUAGGAUGCUCCAUGGAUGCUCCAUGGGAGUUACAAACCCAUGGGUCAUGGAAAUGAAGAGUCAUGACACAUUAGGGUUUACAUGGNGUUACAUGGUGUAACCCUAGAUGUGCCAACACUAUAUAAGAGUCCCAUUCUCCACAAAAUUGGCUACACAAGCUAGACAUAAGAAACUAGAGGGCUUGGCCGAUUUUGAGAAGGGUGUGUUAUCUCAAGAGUCUUUCCAAGAGCAUUUGGUGUUGUGUGAAGCAUUUGAGGCAUCACACUUGGGGUGCUAGGCUCACAAGGUUUCAAGGAACACAAGCAACAACAAGGUAAGUUAUUCUAUCUAUGAUUCAAGUUAAAAUUGUUCCCCAUGUAUGCUAGAUAGGAAUAUAACCUUGGAAUUCAACUUUGCAUGAUAAUUAGACAAACAUAGAUCCAAGGUUAUUAGGGUUGCAUGUACACUUAGGAAGUGUUAGAAUGCUCAAAACCCAUCAGUAAUAGCAUCCCGCUGAUCAUCAGAAUAUGAACAUGUCGUCAAUCUCGCCCAGUCUUUUUCCCCGAGCCUAAGCAGGUUCAGAGCACACCCGACCUUCUGGUCAGCAGGACAUGAGCACGUGAAGAAACAACCCUCCAUGUCAGACAACCACCGCAUAGCCCUGAUCGCAUCCCGUGUACCAUCGAACGUCGGGGGCUUCGUAUUAUCGAAGUACCGGUACUGGAAAGCCCUGUCGUCUCCUCCUCCAACCCCUUCCGCAGUUACAGCUGAAGUGGCUGCAACGGCAGCUGUCUCUGCUAGAGCUGCAUAUCGCUCAUCAAAGUACUCAACCAUCGCAGUCUUAAUCGACCCAAACAUCUCUGGCAGCUGCGCUUGGAAUGCAGCAGUAAUCUCAUCGUGCAUGAUCUCCCGGAUCCUGGCAUCCAACUCCUCGACCCCUAUCUGAACCACGGGCUCAGGUGCUACCGACACCUCCAACCCUCCGUCUCCCGACCCCGAUCCUGAUCCUGAUCAUGAUCCGGAUCCCGAAGCAACACGCCUCGUCACCACCAUACUGAAAUAUAUAUACAAGUCAUCUAUUAAAUAACAUAAUGUCGGGAGACCAAAACCCCAAAANNNNNNNNNNNNNNNNNNNNNNNNNNNNNNNNNCAUCAGAUAAAUAACAUGAUGUCGGGAGACCAAAAACCAGAAACCCUAGGGGUUGUGAUUUCCUUGCUACGCAUAUGGGUCCUGUGCUUUCAGUAGUACGGGCCCAUACUACCUUCCUCACCUACCCAUAUUUGUCUCAAGUAUCACCAUAAUGCCCUAACAAUAUCAUCAAUCAUAAACAAAAUGUGCCCCAACCCUCACUUCUAGAGGAAGGCCAACUAUCUCGCAUCUAAUCCCACCACUUCUCAUGACUCCUACAUCCAUGAAACUUCCAUCAUCCCCUGCAGCGCUAGUGUAUGCUAGCUGCACAUAACGCUGGACCCAAUAGACUUCCAAAUAUCCAAUCCUUCCCGAAGACCGAAUCAACAUUCUCAGGCUAUAAGGUCUUUAUUACGCACAGUUGUGAUGCAUGCACUAAACAUCUACGGUUAUGAUGUCAAUUCCACAUACAAGAAACCCUAGGCUAAUAGGCAUCAUGCAAUCAGGCAAAUAUUUCAUGUGAUUCCUGAAGAUCCCUAGCCUAGCACCAACAUGUUGUUCUAACAUAUCAGAAUAUCAAAUAACUGCAUAGUAUUUUGGGGUUUACUUACAGGCUCCGGAUGAUCGUACCCUCUGCAUCCUCCAUCCUUUAUUUUGAAAACCAUUUUAAAACUUAUUUCCGAAAAUCUCCUUGAUUUGAGACUGUAUUCACACGAGUGUUCCUCCAAUUCACUCAAACCAAGGCUCUGAUACCAACUUGUAACAUCCAUGAAAUUCACACCAAAUUUAAACUUUUUCAAUCGUAAAUAAAACCAUAAAGCAUUGUUUACAAAAUGUUUUCAAAUCAUUUUCCAUCAGAGUGUCCCAAAAAUCAUAACAUAAGGAUGAGGAGUGGUACGGUCACGCCUUCACCUUUCCAUGGUCUCCUGAUGUACCUGAAACAACAAACUGAAAAACUGUAAGCCCGAGGGCUUAGUGAGCUACCCCCAAAAUACCAAUACCACACUGACAUUACCAAAACAGUAAUAAUCAAUCAAUCAUCACGCAUACUGGGCCAUUAGCCUGACUGGACCGCCCUACCGGGCCUAUAGUUUGUAUGAAUCUAUCCCGAGCCUUCGGCAUGACUGGUCCGCCACGUGGGCCUACAGUCUCCCCGGACCGCUCAUAGGGUAUGUUGGCCUUCAGCACAAAGCAGGACCGCCUCAACCCAACCAACAAGCAAAUAACCAUGUGCGCAUAGCUAUCAUAUACUGGCAUAUACAAACAUCAAGCAUAUCUAUCUCACUGAUCACAAUCAUAGAAUUCACCUGUAACUAGAGUACCAACCUAUCAGGUCCCUAACACACCAAUCCCAGCAGAUCAUAAAAGCAUAACAUACUGUCUACCUCGAUUCCGAACUAACAAAUCAUAAUCACAUGCAACAUGCCAUAACAAUAACAACUAAAGGUCCAACCUUGGUGUUGUAGACCCAAUCGAUAUAGUGAGGAUAAAUCACCUCACAGAUGUCGACUCGGAAGGUAGACUCCAACUCUCGGAUCACUCGAAAUAGGCCCCACCACCUAUAACCAUAGUUCAAUAUACGCAUAAGCAUUUAACCUUAUAAGGUACUCCAUAACCCAAUAGUCGACCCCUGAUCAAGGUCAAAGUCCUCAGUCAAGGUCAACAGUCCAUGUUGACCUCAACUCGCCGAGUACACCUAGCUACUCGCCGAGUCCCUUGAAGCACAAUCCAAAUCGCCGAGUCAUCGAGGGGACUCGUCGAGUUCCUUUGAAUCCCGAUCAAACCUUAAGGCCACCCGUCGAGUUCCCUCCUUGCGACUCGACGGAUAUACACACAAACAUAGUCUUGGUUAAAAAUCAUCCGACUCGCCAAGUUGUUCUUGAACUCAUCGGGUCCCUUGACAAUCUUCAUCGGACUCGCCGAGUUGUUCUUCAACUCGUCGAGUUCAAUGGCCAUCUUCAUGCGACUCGCCAAGUCCAUUCGGUCAUCUUUCCAUACAGAUCCAUUUUGAGCCAUGCAGCGGCUCCAAAUCGCAGAUCCAAGCUUCUAGAGCAUGCUUAUCACGUAAAGUUGCAAACUUUACGUGCAUGCAUGGCUUAAAAGGCUCAAAAUGGCAAAUCUAAGCUAUUGAUGGGUCUUCAUGCACAAAGGGGACCUCAAUCAUGACUAAAGCUGCAACUUUAUGCUUCUAGAACCCCAAAAGAGUCCAGAUCUGAAGUUACAACUUCAGAUCUAGCCCAUAGCUCAUCAUACCAACUUGAUAUUUCAUGAAAACCCUAAAACUCACCCAAUAUAGGAGAUCUAUAAGGAGAAUGACGGUUUCGGUACCUUUUGAAGUUGAUAUCUGAGAUGAGUGUUGAUUUCCACACUCCAAUUGCUUCAAUCUCCUUCUCCUCCAAGUCUUCUCCCUCCAUGAACUCUCUUUCAAGAUUCAAACACACACAAAAGGCACACACACACGAAUAAGGAUCUCAAGGGUUCUUUGGAACUGUAAGGAGGUCCAAGGGAGGCUAAGGUCCCUUUUAAUAGGGGUGCAAACCCCGGGAAUUAGGUUUUCACUUGCCAGCUCCUACUCGCCGAGUCCCAUUAUGGACUCGCCGAGUAGGUCACUUAACCCGUGAUCCUUCUCACUGCUACUCGACGAGUAGGUAAACCAACUCGUCGAGUAGGGCCAAAUCCAAAAAUUCAUAUUAACCAUACUUGAAAAUCCGGGCGUUACAUUAUCCAUGCAAGUUUUUUUUGAAAUACAAAUUGUCUAUCUUAUCAGUUUGUUAUUUAGUGUAUGUUUUACAUUUUAAUAGUAGUAUUAAGUGUUUCUUAAAAGUAUUCUUUAACUUAUUACUAAUAAUAAAUGGUUUAAAACUAAAUAACAAUAAUUUUAAAUGAUAAUAACAUCAAUUUAUAAAUUACAUAACGUUAACAAAAAAUAAAUUAUAUUUUAAAUGAACAUCAUUAUUGAAACUAGAAAAUAACCACAUAAGUAAAAAUUUAAAUUAAUCAAUCAUAACUAUUGUUAAAAAUAAUAUUAAAUAGAUAAUUAUAUUUAAUUUUAUUAAUGAGGAAGGUGGGUUGAUGCCAAUGAAUAAUAUUUUUCAAAAUAUUUUGUUAAAGUUAAUGUUAAUAACAUAACCAUUUUAAACAUAUAUUUUUAACCUACGCUGCGCAACGUGCGAGAAUUCGUCUACUUGCAAUAUAACACGUUGUACUUUACUAAUUUUCUUUUGAGGGUUUUGAAUAUGUGAUCGGACCUAAUGUAACGACCCAAAAAUCAAGGGUAAAAAUUUCGUUUUUAAUAUAGCUAAAACAUUGAUACCAUUUAUUUCAAACAUUUCAAAUCAUCAUUAAGUAAAACAUUUAUCAGAGUUCAUCCCAAAACCAUUCAUUGCGGAAAAUCAUAGGUGUGUGUAUUGCAAUCAAUCCAAGCUCUUCUCUUCCAAAUCGAUAAUACCUGAAACUAAAACUGUAAACCGUAAGCACAAAGCUUAGUGAGUCCCUUAGAGCAUACCCCACAUACAAUCCACAUAACACAUAUCGUAUUAGCUAUAAAAGUUAUCUCUAACACAUAAGCCCUGUAUAGAAUCAUAUAAGGAAGCCAUGGAAACCCUCCAAGGUCUUACACCUACUGCCAUGGGAACCUCCACGUGGUCUUAUCUGCCUUGGGAACCCCCACAAGGUCUUCCUGCCAAACAUUACAUAAUGCAAACUAUACAUAUAAACAUAUGUUAUAAACAUACAAACAUAUAAGGAUGCCCUGGAAACCCUCCAAGGUCUUAAACAAGGUGCUACGGGAACUCCCAUGUGGUCUUAGCCCAUUGCCAUGGGAACCCCCACAUGGUCUUAGCCUAGAAAGCCAUGGGAACCCCCACAUGGUCUUAUUUCCAACUGCCUCGGAAACCCCCCCGGGGUCUUCCAUGCAAGUAUCACAAAGACAACUAGCAUACCAAAUACUACAUAAUCAACUAGCAUACUACAUAUAUAUAACUGUUUUCCAUGGGAACCCCCACAUGGUCUUCACAUAAUACAUAGUGUAUCAAUAGCACAUUCACAACAAUCAUCACAACUAGAUAAAUGGGCCGGCCUUGGUGCCUUAGACCCAUUGGUAUGGUGAGAAGACUCACCUCUCGAACACUGAACCGAUAGGCUGAAGUCAGACAUAUCCCACACGCUGCUCCUUAUCAACUGCCCAUAGUCAUCAGGUGAUUAGCUUGACACAAUCCCAUAAAUACCCUUAGGUCAACCCUGGCCAAAGUCUAUGUCUGUAGUCAAGGUCACCAGUCCAUAUUGACCUUGACUCACCGAGUACAAUUAGCCACUCGUCGGAUUCCCUGCUUAACUCAUCGACUCGCCGAGUCAUCAGAGAGACUCGUCGAGUUCCUUGAUGUUUACGACCGUAAACUCCCAACCGCACACUCCUGACCGUGAACCCUUGGCCGUGAGCCCUAUCGACUCGCCGAGUCACAAGAACGACUCGACGAGUUCCCACGUAUUCGAUCCUUUCUAGUGGGAUUUAAGGUCCCAAACUUCAGAUCCAUAAUCUUGUAGUGAUAAUACCAUGUAAAGUUGCUAACUUUACAUUCAUACUAAGUCUCAUAAUGCCAAAAACACAUCAACAAGCUUCUUACAAGUCCCAAAUGUGUGAAUAAGAGUUAGGGUGCACCAAGGAGACAACUUUAUGACAUAUGGGCCCUAAGAAGUUCUAGAUCUGGAACCAUAUCCUUGUGAUAGGUCCAGAUCCAAACUUGGUUCCAUUUCCUCAAGAAUGGCCAUAAUCUCCACAAAGAAAUCAAAGCUUAAAGUAGCAGAUUAAUACCUCAGACAAAUCCUUAACAUGAAAUAGGUACUCGAUCUAGAGCUCCUCCCAUGAUACUUCCUCUUCAAGCUUGAAAUCCACCCCAAAAUCCCAAAGACAAGCUCCCAAAUGCUCUCUCUUCUCUCACAAGAGGUUUGCGGCCGCGAACAGCUUCUAGGGUGUAAAAUAUAGGCUACUAGGGUUUAUAAUGAUAUUUAUAUAGGGGCAAUCCCAAAAUUUAGGGUUUUCUUUAAACAGCUCGGACUCGUCGAGUCGACCUUCGACUCGCCGAGUCGGUCCCGUUCCGCUUUUCCUGAUCUCACGACCCUACUCGACGAGUUGACCUCCCAACUCGCCGAGUCCAUGCAUAAAUCCUUUCCAAUUCAAACCAGGUGUUACACCUAAACCUUACAAAUUCCAACUUCUAGGCAUUAUGUUUUUGUAUCGGCGUUGACCAAACUAAGGAUUAUUCGCAUCGACGUGUGUUUAAUCUUUUGAGAAUAUAUUCAAAACAGCUCGAAAUGCAUCGGUUUUAAAAUAUUGACAACUUACUUAUAUAUAACAACUUACUUAGAGGUUUGGAAAUUCAAAUAGGAGUUUGAUUUCUUUUUUCUUUUUCUUAUAUAUAUAUNNNNNNNNNNNNNNNNNNNNNNNNNNNNNNNNNNNNNNNNNNNNNNNNNNNNNNNNNNNNNNNNNNNNNNNNNNNNNNNNNNNNNNNNNNNNNNNNNNNNNNNNNNNNNNNNNNNNNNNNNNNNNNNNNNNNNNNNNNNNNNNNNNNNNNNNNNNNNNNNNNNNNNNNNNNNNNNNNNNNNNNNNNNNNNNNNNNNNNNNNNNNNNNNNNNNNNNNNNNNNNNNNNNNNNNNNNNNNNNNNNNNNNNNNNNNNNNNNNNNNNNNNNNNNNNNNNNNNNNNNNNNNNNNNNNNNNNNNNNNNNNNNNNNNNNNNNNNNNNNNNNNNNNNNNNNNNNNNNNNNNNNNNNNNNNNNNNNNNNNNNNNNNNNNNNNNNNNNNNNNNNNNNNNNNNNNNNNNNNNNNNNNNNNNNNNNNNNNNNNNNNNNNNNNNNNNNNNNNNNNNNNNNNNUAUAUAUAUAUAUAUAUAUAUAUGUGUGUGUGUGUGUGUGUGUGUGUGUGUGUGUGUUGGCGUAAUUAUUUUUAUGAUUUACGGACGAUUUAGUUGAUUUUUCUUAUUUUUUAAUAGGAAACUUAUAUUGUAUCUUAAAUGCUUAGCCCGAUUUUACACGCGUUACAUCUAACCCAAGCCAACCCAUGUAACAUCGUAAAUUUCCAAACAAAAUUUUCAUUUUAAAAUCAUAUAAUUCUCAUAACGCAUUUCAUAAAUUCUCAUUUAUUUAGUUUACAAAACGCAUCUCCAUAAUUGUUUGAUUAAUAAUCCAUGAUCCUCAAAAUAUAACUCUUUCUCUGGUGUGUACAAUCGAGUCGGUGCCUUCCCGCGGUCCUGAGAAAAACCUGAAACACAUAAUACAUAACACAGUAAGCAUGAAGCUUAGUGAGUUCCCCAAAAUACCACAUACACAGCUCAUUAGCCACUCGAGGCUAUAUCAAUGUAAGACCCUCCGAUCAAUGUGUCUCAUUGGGACCCUCCAGUCCCACGGUUCGUUGGACCCUCUGGUCCGGUCUGUAAAGCUCCGCAUAGCAUAAAUCACAAAGACAUAAUGCACUGCAUACAACAUAAGACAAGAUAACAUAAUACUCAAUAUAAGAACAUAAGAACCUCCGGUCACACAUAAGUAUCACUCUAGGUAAAGUAUAGUGAGAAGACACAUAAGUACCCCUCCUCACCCGCUUAUUCUUUUCCCAUUCCAGCUACUCCAACACACCAACCAGUUUUUCAUCUUCUCCGGCAAGAAACAAGUGCCAAAUAUUAAACAAACCAGAUUAAAUCAAAAUAAUGUCAAUCUAAAUAGAACAGGAAAAUGACACAAAUGCCCUACGGACUUUCUAGGGUUUACCCGUUGAGUCCCUCAAGUUUUUUUCGGUUUUUAUGGGUCCUUAAACGAGGAUAUUUUUAGUCACUGUCAACCAGUAAUAGUCGGUUCGGUGACCUUUUAAGCUAAAAAAACUCACAUUGUGCCCCUAUAAAGCCAACAAAAUAAGUUUGGGGAUCAAUUCGUACAAAAAAAAUUGUCCUUCUUUUCUUCUAAAGCCGAUUCACACUCAAUUUGAAGAAAAAAAGAGAUUAAAUCUUGCUUUCUCUGUGAACCUCAUCAAACCCACACAUCCUUUUCAACAUGCAUCCAUCAAACUUUCAACUCAGAGGGAGAAUGAGAGGUAGGCUGUGCGAUUUUGAACAUAGAAGAAGGAAGGAGGGGGUUAAUUCCUUAAAGAGCUGAAAUCGAAUCAAAGAAAAUAAUGGAAGGGGGUUGUGAUCGAGAAUCGAUUAGAAGGGGAAGAGGUUUGUGACCUUUACUGAGUGUGUGUCACAAUCGGGGUGAAGACGGAAAGAAGAGUAGCAAUCGAUUCCUUGGGAGGGUACAAAUUGAGUGUGAAUCAGGUUUAGAAGAAAAGAAGGAGAGUUUUUUUGGUACAAAUUGAUCCCUGGACUUAAUUUUUUGGCUUUAUAGGGGCACGAUGUGAGUUUUUUUUGGUCUAAAAGGUCACUGAACCGACUAUUAUAAGUUGACAGGGACUAAAAGAGCAGGUCAUAUCCUAGUUCAGGGACCCAUAAAGCCCGCAAAAAAACUUUAGGGACUCAAUAAACCCUAGAAAGUUCGUAGAACAUUUGUGUCAUUUUCCCAAAUAGAAUCAUACCGGAAAACUUUUUUGUUCGUUACAAGGAAAUAAGAAAUGCAAGAAAAUCAAAUCUAACAAACUUGAGUCGAACCAAAUACAAAAUAAAUACCAUUAGUUCAUGAACAUGGAAACCAAAAAAAAGUUCUUUCAGACAUGAAUCAAAGCAAAUCUAAAUCAAAUUUAGCUCCCGGAUCUCUGGAAAUCCAAAAUAAUUAAAGAACCACUUUAUCGUCUACAACAACAUUGCAAAAGAUCUCUAAAAAGCUUCAAAAUCGAAUCCAAAUCAGUUGCCAAAAGACCUUCAAACUUUUCACUUCGAAACCGAUUUCUUCCUUCAAAAAUGAAUCCUUCAGAUGCCAAAAACCCAUCAUAUUUGCAUUUUGAUUUCUUGUUCCACCGUAACCAUAUAUAGAACUUUUCACCUUCAAAAUCCCACAAUGAAACUCUUAUUAAGAAUAAAUAUGAACUUGAAAUAUUUAAGCUACAUAGAAACCCAAGACGAAGAAGGAUUCAAGACAAUGGAUUUGUAAAUAAUCAAAUACCCCAAAUCAACCUUCUUCAAAACUCUAUUCGUUAGGUUCUUAGACGUUGGAAAUAUUCAAGUCAUCGUGGUUUGACAGAAGAGAGUGAUGGAGGUCUCACUAGGUUUCCAUGGAAGAUUACAUCUUCUGUAUAUCGAGCUUUACAUGUGAGAGACAUGAAUUUCUAUUUUUUUUUAGGUGUUAGAAGAUUGGUGGAGACAAAGAGACGAAGGAGAUGAAGGGUUGCCGACGAUGGUGGAUUUUUCCGGCAAGCAUAGGUAUAGAAGAGAUGCGGCUGUUCUUUUAGAGAUCCAUGAAGAAAAGGUAAAAUGGAUGAAGAAAUGAUACAAAGGUUUGAUACAAUACAUCUUGUGGAGGGGUGAGAUGGUGGGACCAUCUAUAUAUUAAACAAUGUCAUUAACUAAUACAUAAUUUAAAAAAUAUUAAAUUAAUCAGAAAGAAAAUAUACAAGGGCAAUAAAGUCUUUUUAAAGUUUGGUAAGGACCAAAUUUUUUUUUUUUUUUUUUUGGACCAAGCUUCAGAGUUCAGACUACGCCAAACCGACCAUUCAUGUAAUUUACCCCAAAAUCAAAACCUUGUCCUCGUAAGUACUGCAUAGUUUUGAAUCAAAUCAAUGAGCGUGUUCGGAGGAGACAGUUGGGGGAGAGAAGCACAGUACCGGAAGAGGAGAGUCGACGAUCUUCUGCUGGAUACAGCCGCCGAUCAUUCUUCCUACAGAAAGCUUCCUACCGGAAAAUAUGCCUGCCUCAUCUGCCCUCAUAAUCCCGUCCUCGAUACUGCUCUCAUGCUCUCAGUAUGUUUCCUAUUCCCCUCUUAACCCUUACUCUAACCCUAAAUAAUCAUUUUCAACUUAGUAUUAGCAUAUCCCUUUAUGUUCGAUUUUGAUGAGUUCAUUGUAAUUCUCGUUAAUGUCGAUUUGGGCGUAAUCCAUCCUCGAUUUAGGGAUUCAUCCAUCAAGCUUUUCGUUUGUAAUUGUGAACUUCCGAUUUAGUAUAAUUAAUCGAAAACUGAUAUUUGGAAAUCAAUUUGCAGAUGCACGUGAAAGCAAGACGACAUGUUGAUGCAGAAAUGAGGCUCAAACAAAGAGAAGAAGAAAGACAAAAGGAGUUGAAUAAGCGAAUGGCCUUUUCACUUGAUUCUACUUCCAUGAGCAAGACAAACUUAGCUAGCAAACCUUUGAUUGAAAAAACACGAAAGGCUGCUUUUGAGGUACUUCACCAUGGUUAUAUUGAACAAAGUAGCGCAAAUUACAGCCAAUCUAGAUGCUCGAUUUCUGAGAAUGCACCAUAUGAUUCAACCACUUCAAGAUUUGGUGAAACUGAGGCAUCUGGUAAGGAUAUUGUGAAGAUGCCAUUAGAUUAUCGAGAAAGAAGGGAGAGAGAACUCAAGUUUACAUCUGCUGGUUGGAAACGUGAUUGCCAUGGAGGGUGGUUCAGAGAUGAAAAUGUAAUUCCUUUUUUUUUGUUCCCAUUAAUAUAUUUGUGAUUUUAAUUCAUUUUCCAAAGUAUUUUGUGAUAUUGAUACAACUUUCAUGUAGGUUGAGUUUGAUUCUGAUGAAGAAGAUCCAAACGUGUCUCUUGCAAAUGGAGAUUGAUGAUGAUUGAUCAAUGCCUUGGUUGCCAAAAUUUGGAAGCAACUUCUGGCAGACGAAUCAAUGGUGCAGAUCUGAUACAAUACUCUCUUUUCUUUAGGAAUCUAGUUAUUUUCUUAAAACGAGUGUAGAAGAAUACAACUAUAUUCACAAAUGAAUAUACACAAACUCUACUGUAUAUACAAACUUUUUGGGUUAUCCAUAAGCAAAUUGUUCAUGUAUUGCAUCAUCCAAAGAUGUUUCAUGAUAUGUAGAGGAAUGCUUUAUCCUUCCCUUUUACCUCGAAACAAUUUCCUAUCUGGUAUCAUUUUUAUUUUUUAUUUUUACUUCUUCAGUCUGUUGAAUUAAGAAAUAGAUUGUUAGAUAAUUGUUUAUAUUGUAAACCAUCAUGUAGAUAUAUAGCAAAAUACAACCAUAUUCAUAUAUGGAUAUAUACACCUAAAAACUAAGGCUUCUACAUAUAAUGUCUACAUACCAACAUAUUCAUAAAUAAAUAUAAACACGCAUUUAUGAUUAUACACUUUCAUCGUGUACAUGUAUCUCCUAUUUCAUCUCCUGUUGCUUUCAUAGCCUUUUUUGAGGACUUCCGGUUACAUGUAACCGAAUAGGGAAGUUGCAACUUUCCCUUUUGUGCGCUAAGUACCACCUGUUGCAAAAUACGGACAUCUUGCAUUUGUUCCUUGUGGGUGUUGUUGUUCUUAGUUUGAUGACAACUCAAGCCUUAUAAUUCAUCGAUACUUAAUUUUAGUAAGUUUGAUAUGCUUUAUUUUUAGCAACUUUUAACAAAUGUAUUUUAUGCAACCAAAUUUUCAACAAACAUACAUAUGCACAAAAACCGGUCUUCUAAGCCCAUCGACAAAUGUGGAUUCUAGGGACUUUCUUCGCGUAUCAUCCUCAACCGGUAUCAUCCUCAAUCGAGGAAAUGACAUUAAGGUGGUGUUUGUUUUUUAUCUGCGGAUCUUUUUGAUAUCUUUUGUCUGCGCCGUGCAGACCAUAUCCAGACAUUAGUUAUUAGCUUUUGCAGAUUGUUUGUAUUUUAGAUAACCUCAUACCUAAAAAGGUCUAUCCAUCCUCUUGUUGAUGCAAUUGUAAACUAAACAUCUUCAUACAUUUAGACUAAAAAACAUCAUUUUUUUCGAAUGCCUCUUUUUUUUUUUGUUCUUCGAAUACCUUUUUUUUUUUUUAAUUUCUGCAAACAUUAAUAUUUUUUUGAAUUUUUUUUAAUAUUUUCCCAUUUUAACUACAACGAAAUACAAUAAAUAUCAAAUAUAUUCAUUAAUUCACAACAUUUUAAUUUUAUUUUUUUAUUAUAAUACAUUGUUUAAAAAUGACAUAAUUAUUAUAUUGUCGUUAUAAUACAAAAUAAUUUAGGCACAUAUUAAUCAUAAUAUAAUGUCAGGUAAAAUUAAUAAAAUAAAAAAUGGUAAUGAAAAAUGAAAAUGUUAUACAAUAAUACAUAAAAUUUGAUCUAAAUUUGUUAACUAUUAUAUAAUAUAUUAAUACAUAUGCGAGCUAUGAAUAGUGUCAGUUUUGCCCUUAGUUGUUUCUAGUUUUGCGUCCUACGGCUGGGGUAGAGCCGAUUUGUGUCCGUUGCUUGACUUGAAGCCGAUUUCGUUACAUGUAGGCUAUUUGUUUCACUAUUUCACGUCCAAGUGUGUUUGCUGUUUGGGGUUAAUUCGAAUUUCAUCAUGCCUAAUCCAGAUCAUUAUCAUCUUCGUUGCCUCCUUGAUUGCUUCCCUCUUCCCAGAAAAUCCAUUUCAUGUUCCCUAUGGAAACAGGGAACAUACUACACCGUUAGAUAUUUUUCCUUCCAUUCAUUGGGGUGUAACAUUCAUUAGGGUGUACGAAGGAGCUGGUGAUCGAACGACGACCAUCUUUAAAGAUUGUAUUCCUUUUCCGCCUGCUUCCAUCAACGAUUGGUCGGAUACGUGUAACACCCUAAUUUCCAUUUAAUUUAAAUAGUUAUAAUUAUGGGUCAUAAAAUUAAAGUGUGGGGUUACAAAUUUGGAUAUUUGAAUUUCUAAUAGUUAAUUUUAUAGUUCAAGACUAAGUAUAGGGGAGUAUGAAAUGAAAUUAUAAUUACUUGAAGGUCAAAUCGAUGAUAGUUGGAACUAUGAUGAACCGAAAUGAGAAUUGAGGACUUAAAGUCAAAAUAUUGCAAAAGGUACAAUUGGGGUCUUAGGUAGAAUUUUGUUAGCCACUUAAGAACCCUUAAACACAACUUAACCCUAAUAACCAUUUUGCUUUGGAAUUUUGAAGACCUUUCAGCAAUGCUUGGACGAUCCCUGAUGAUUCAAUCGGUGUAUCGUCAAGAAAUUUGGAGAGCAGCUUCCCAAAACAUAUAUUGAAGUUUUGACCGUUGGAAUUUCAAUUUCAAGGUCUGGAGCUCGAGUUACAGAUCAUCGAUCAUGGUUAAGAAAACAUUUUUAAUUAAGAAUAUUUUUAAUUUAAAUAAUUUUCAAGGUAUAAGUAUUUUCAAAAGAAAGAAUGUGAGCAAUCAUUUUUUUAUGCAAGAUUAAUGUAUGUUUUGCUUUAAUAUUUAUUACAUGCUAAAAAUAUAUUUAAAUGUGGGCACAUGGUUAUUAAGGUCUCGAUAUAGAGCCUAUGAUCCUACAAAUAGAUAUACGAUUAUGAAUUAUGAUUAUAUUAGAACCGAGUCUACAACAAGAUCUGUAAUGAGUCUUAAGAUACCUAUAAGUGUUUGUCAUAUACAAUCAAUUUUUUAGUGUGUGAGGUGUUACCGAAUGGUAUCAAAGAAAUACUCUCUCGAGAUACAAUGAGUUGGCAACCAAUGAAACUCUUCCACUAAUGAUUUCGGGUAUAGUAUAUAGACUUGGUGAUUACAUAAGUUGUUUGAGUGAGGGAAUUGUAAGAACUUGUUUCAUAUCGAUAGAAAAUAAGAAGUUUAAAGCCUUGUAGGUAUUAGGUUGUUAAGUAAUAUAUUAAUUAACAACCUAAUACCUACAAGGCUUUAAACUUCUUAUUUUUUAUCGAUAUAACACAUAAUGAUAAAAUUAUCAUGGUUUUAAGUUGAUCCCAAAUAGAAUGUUUGAUAUAACUCAUUCCAUGUUGAUAAAAAAAGAACAGGAACUUUGAACAUUACAUAAGAUAUAACUUGUGGAUUAAAAAUAAUUUCAUCUUGGUUUUAAAUUUGUCGGGAAUAUUAUGUUGGUUUAUUACUUUUAAGUUUGAAAUCUUUUACUUCAACCAAAAGCUUGAAGUGUCGAGUGUUAUUGUUACACCGACUCAUUUGUGAGCGAGUAACCCAAGAAAGGAGUACGCUUUAACUCCAUGCUUUUCAAAAGUUAAAUUGUCUUUAUUUACCCAAAAGUGGUAUGUAGCAUGAAUCAUUAAGAAUGACAAAAUGCCAAUUCAAUUAGCAAUUAGUCAUAAUUAACUACAUUUUUCAUCACUUUACAGAACUUAACCACUUUGAUUGUGGUAAUUAGGUAAUACAAUGUGGAAACUAGAAAAUGUGAUAAGUGACUCAUUGAUUCAUAUUCAAAUCCUCUUUGUGGUCAUGAAGGUCCGUCUUUAUUAACUCCUUGACAACGAGACAUAGUAUUAUGUUCAUAGUGGAUGAUUAGUACCUUCGUCAAGAAAGUUCAUUUCCCCCCAAAAAAAAAAUAACUUUUGAGCUUGGUUUAUUAAAAAAAAAGAUUAUUAAUGUAAGAAUAUAAUUUUAAUAUUUAUAUUUAAUGCAUCAAUUGUUUGUAAAAAUAAAACAAAAUUAAACAGUUCGAUCCUAUCAAACUUAGAACAUUCACAAUUGUGAGUUCAAUGGAAGAGUUGAAUGAGGUGUCAAGUCUUGUGUCAUUCAAUGGAUGAAACUAUUAUGAGAUGUCAUCUUAGCAUUCAAUGGAUUUGAAGUUCAAUGGAAAAGAGGAAAGUCUAUAAUUCUUAAAUAUUUACUAUAAAUUAUAUUUUGUUACAUUUUAUUGAACUUUAUAAAAUUCAAUGCAUUUUAGUAAAAAAUUAUAGAUUUGUAUGAGAUUUUAAAAAGAUGACGUAGCAAACUUUAGUUAGAGUACAUCAAAAUUUACGCAUACUAACUUUUUUCUGUGGAUACGUGUGCUUUACCGUGUAUGAGGAUGAAAAAAAAGGAAACAGCAAACAUGCAUAUAAUGAUGACAAAAAUGCAUGCUAGUCUCCUCUACAAUGGACAUAAAAUUCACUUUUCAUAGGUAUAUUUCCUCUUUCAUGCAACUUACGAUUUUUAAUGCAAGAAAUAUUGGUGCCGCAUAUAAUUUUACUUUUAUAUUUACAAAAGAAAAGCAUUGAUUUAAUGUAUAAUUUAUAAAUCAUUAUAUUAUAAAUCAUAUAUUUACCAUAUUAUGAUUAUUAUAUAAUCGAGAUAAACCUCAAGUUAUAGAAGCUAAUAAGAGACCUAAUGUAUUAUAACUUUUAAAACUCAGUAAAUCAAUUGUUGUAAGUUUCUAAAAGGGUUAAUAAAAUAAAUUAAAGACCAUUAUGCAUUAGGCUUUCUCAGGAUUAAAGCUUAAGUUUAUUUAUUUAUUUUUUUUACCGAAUUUAUAAAAUUCUAGAAUUGAAUUGCAAGGGUACGUGCAGGAUUUAAAAAAAAAAACCUUUAAUGAAGGCAUUUCGGUGGAAUUUAUUGGAUUUAAAUUAUCUUUAUUAUUUUUUUUUACCAAAGUAGGAAUUGGUCAAAAUUCAAUUCCAAUUCCAACCAAAUCCUCUAAACACCAUCAUACAUAUAGUCAAGGAGAUAGGGAUCUUCCUUGAUCAAUGAUGAAGAUAAUGAAGUUAUUUCAUGGUGAACAACAUAACAAACCGAGUAUUAGAGAACGAUGACAGAUUGCGAAUAUGAAGAAUAUUAUUGGAUCGAAAUAUGAAAACUAAGACGCAGUUUAUUGUAUCUAAUAACCAAAGAUUCCAACUUGGUAGAUCAUUUUAACUUGGUAAUUGGUAUAUAUAGUAAAUCAUCUAAAUAUGUAAUCAUUAGUAAAAUCUUUUAACAAACUUUACAUUAUAUCAAAGAAAAAGAAUCAAUAAAAUCAGAAAAUACUACACUCGAUCCGGAUUCAUACCAUGAACAAUGAAUCACACGAACAUCAUCUUCCUCGAGAGACUUCACGAAGAUUGUGACUGAACCCUAAGCAACCUAGCAACCCAGAUUUGUACGGCAAGAAUGUCUUGUUCUUCAUCUCCUCCGCCAUUGCCCUGUUGGCCGUGUAAUGUAUUUCAUGGGCUGAAACCUUCCUCUUCAUGCUCCUCCUUCUCGAUGACCCACCUACAGAACCACCGCCAUCGCUGCUUCUAAAGCUUGAGUUCCUUGUAUCCUGUUCUCCCUUCGUUAUCAUCGCGUAUUUCUUUAAUGGGUCGUCGCUUGUUGCUGCACUUCCCUCCGAUGUGCUCCGGAAAAGUAAUAGGUUCUUGAGGUUCCAUUUAUUGUACCACAUGAAACCAAACGGAGAUGAUUGAUUUGUACUUGAGACCUUCUGAUGAUCUAAUAAUAUGUCGGAAACCCUCAUCGGAGAUAAGGACUGUGAUGUUUUGUUUCUGGUGGUGGUAAUCGUUCUUUCUCUUCCUCGUGGGCUUUGAUUCAAUGCAUUUGAGAAAGGUUCAGAAUAUUUCUUUUUGUAAUUCACAGGAUAUAACUUCGGUGAUCUGGGAAGAGUAAGAUCUUUUGAUGAUUGUAGUAGUGGUUGUGGAUCUAACGGCUUGAUCUUUCCGCCGUAAAAUAGCUCAUCGGCGGCGGAGAUCAAUGGCCGUUCCAACUGUCCACUGAAAUCAAAAGCAAAAUCUGUAUCAUAACCUUCUUCGUAAUAAUCCGAGUUUUUCUGUUCAUGAUUUUCGUCACAACUUUCGAAAGGUUCUGUGGAUUGGAAAUCAUCAGCAGCUUCUGGGUCCAUCGGAGAAACGCCGACUGGGCUAGUCGGUGCACUGUAAAAGAAACUGGAAAGUAAAAUUUUGGGGCUUGAAGGUGCGGUGGCGUACGGGGAGGUGGAGGUGCUGUCAAAGUUGAAGUCGAUGGGUGCCGACGACGGGAUUAACAGCUGCGGAUCCAUGGUGGUUGCUGAAAGUGCGGUGGCGUCUUUUCGAGGACGAUGAGUGAGUUUAUAUGUAUGAAAAAUGAACGGCGAUCAGUCAUCAGCCGCCUUCGUUUGCUUUCAACUAAUUAGUUUAUUUUUAUAUUUAAAAUUAAUUAAUAAAUAAUACGCCCGCCAAAAAAUAAUAAUGGACAAUUGGUGUUUGUUCACCCUCUUUUGUUAAUGUAAGCGACUUAUGUUCGAAUUUUAUAAAGUAAUAUGUCACGUUUAACAUUUAGAAAAAUAUAAAUAUAUUGUCGUAAAUUAUUUUAUUUAUUAAAGAAUAAAGAGAUCAAUGUCAAUUAUAUGAUGUAGCACAAACAUAAUUUAAACGAAAAAAAAAAAAUUGUACAAGUAUAAUUAUAAAAGAUCAGUAUAUUUUAUACAUCAAAGCAUAUGAAAGAUGUUAUCCAUUUUGUGAAUAUAUUUUAAUUGCUGGAAAAGCACGAGUUUGCUCUUUGGCAAAGGACAUUUUCUAAUCACAUGCGGACAAAAAAACCUUUUGACUUUAUUGGUAUUGCUUUUUUGACUUUAUUUUUUUCUUCCGAGAUUAAUUAUGUUUUUUUAAAUAGUUUUAGUUACUAACCAUUAGAUAUCAUGGUAUAUAUUACCUUUUUGAACGUUUUAGAUUAUUUGACUCCGUGAAAAAAAAUGAACAAAUGACAUACCAUCUUAUGUCAUGUUUCUAAAAAGAAGGUGCAAAAGAUAAACGGAUAAUGAUUCGAGAGUGCACCGUAUUUUAGUUUUUGGUUACAUUUUGUUAUUAAAUUAAUUUUCAUGUUAUAUUAGCCAUUGAACUUGUUGAAACGUGUACAUUAUACCAGUAUGACCGAUAACAGUGAGUUUUGCUAGUUUACGACGUUGCUUUUAGCCAAACAUGAGUUUUCCGGUCAUCUUUUCAGGUCAAACUCGAUUUUCCGGCGAUGUUUCCGGCCAAACUCGAAAUAGCAUCUAUGAACGACCUGAGCUUAGGGGGCUAUUCCAGCAGCUGUUGCAGCGAAUGGAUUGCUUCGGUGGCCUUCUUGGCUGUUCUUCUACAGAUGUCCAUAGAAAACACGAAGGGGAGGGGCAAGGCAAAUCAGUGAUGAUCAGGGAGAGUUUGUUGGUGUGGAUUCGAACGAGAAGGGAGGAGAAGAACGGUCGGGGGCCUAUUAUCCUUUUGACUGCCGGAAGACACCACCUCCGAUGGAGGGUUUCUUGAUUGAAAUUAAAGAAGAAUGAGGGAGGCAAGGAGUAGAACAGAACAACGAUUUUCACGGGGUGUUUUGCUGCUUCAAUCAACAGGAAGGAGGUGGAGCAAGAGGCUGCUGCCUCUUGAUGAUUUUCGAGGAAACAACACCUCCAAAGGAGGUGUUGUUGGCCAUUAACAAGGCAGAAAAAUAAGAGAGAAAGGGAGAGUGUUUUGCUGCUUCAGUUCGAUUUCUAUAGGAAUUGAUUGGCCGAAAACAUUGCUGAAAAAUUGAGUUUGGCCGGAGAAGAUAACCGAAAAACUAAUGUUUGGCCGAAAACAACGUCGAAAACCGGUAAAACUCACUAUUAUUGGUCGUACUUGUAUCAUAUAUACGUUUCAACUAAUUUAAGAGUUAAUAAUAUACGAAAAAUAAUUUAGUAAGGGCAUGUCCAAUUGAAGGACAAAACAUUGUUUUCAGCUUUUUAUUUUUUAUAUAUUAUUAUGUAUUACUACUAUGAAAAGGUGUCAAAUAAGAUACAUGAGUAUUUUAAUCAUAGAACAAAAGUCAAGAAAACCAUCAUAUGAUUAUACCAUAUCAUCUCUGUACUUUCGAUUCUAGACAUAUAACAUAAAUAUAUGAGAAUUCUUUUUUUUUUCUUGUUCCCAUUUAAUUUGUUGUCGGAUUUUGAAAAUUAGCUUUUUAGUACUAAUAAUUAAAAUCCAUAUUUUUUUGAAGAUAGAUGUUUGUGACAUGUCCGAUUUAAGAGGUGUAAAAUUGAUUUAUACAUAUAAAAUAUAUGUUUUAUUAACUUUUACGUUAGCCGUAAAGAUUUUUUUUAAUUAUUUAUUUAUUUUAUUUUUUCAAAAGAGAACUUCGCUAACAAUGAUUUUCGGGUCAAUUUUUGUGCACCUAAUAAUCCCACAUUACGAACAUGAGGCCUUGGAGUCACUUUAUACGAAUCUACAUGAUUAUAGAGACCGAGUAGUAUCAAAAUUUAAACGUUAAUCAUCUCUAAUAAAUGAAUGUUUUUUUGCCACUUGUCACACUCUCAUUCAUUAUGCCACAUGUCAUUUUGUCAUAAUUUUGAGAUAUUUAUUUUCCACUUGUCAAUUACUUUAUUUAUUAUUAUUGAAUAUAUACCAUUAAUUUAGUUUCUAUAAAUUAAACAUACCAUAAUAACUAUAUUAAUUUCAAAUUUUAAAUUUCAAAUUUCAAACUUCAAUUUCAAUUUUAAAUAAAUUUACAAUUGAAACAUUCGUAUUUAAAAUUUUGUUAUAAUUAACACAUUUAAUAUACGGUUCUGACAACUAAACACAUAAUUUUAAUUUAAUUUUUUCAUUUUCUUUUUAAUUUAUACUUAUUUCAAAUUUCAAAUUUAAAUAAAACUGCUUGUUUAAUCAUUUGUAUUUACCAUUUUGUUUUAAUCAACCCGUAUAUUAUAUAGGUAUGACAACUAGUUAUGUAUUAUGUGGAUGAAUACUUUGGAAAAAUCACCAUCUAUCCUUUUAUAAUAUUUACUUCGAAUGGUUUCACAUUUUAAAUACAUAUUCUAAAAUAUUACAUGUUACUUAAGCAACGUUCCCCUUUUGCUUCACGUCUAGUUCAUUAUAAGUUAAUCCUUAAUUACAAUAUGUUCACAUUUAGCUAUCUUUNUUGAAUUUAUUUUAUUUUAUUUUCAUUUAUGACUUCAUUCGUGGCCCCAAAUUAUUUGCAUUUUCAUUAUAGUUAAUUAUACUUAAUUCACAGCAAAUCUCAACAACCCACUUAAUGUGACCAGAAGGAAAAUAAAAACGAUAAAAAAUAUUAUAUACUAGAAUUUUUAUAUUAAAAUUUCUUGUAUAAUACAUGAAUAGAAACAUAAUACCUUUUUGUCGUAUGUCAUUUUUCUUAUUUUUGGUAAAUAUUAUGUAAUAUUUAUAUACUAGUUGUGAGACCCGUAUAUUAUACAGGUUGAUUAAAACAAAAUGUUAAGUAUGAACGAUUAAAAAGUUUAUUUGAAUUUGAAAUUUAAAAUAAAUGAAAAUUAUAAGAAAAAAAAUGCAAAAAAUAAAAUUAUAUAUUUAGUUAUCCGACCUGUGUACUAAACAAAUUAAUUAUAACAAAAUGUUAAACACAAAUGUUUAAACUGUAAAUUUAAUUUAAUUUUAAUAUCUAAAAUUUGAAAUUAAUAGUAAUUAUGGUAGGUUUAAUUUAUGGAAACUAAAUUAAUGAUAUAUUUGGAAAUGAAAAUUGAAGUAAUUGACAAGUGGAAAAUAAAUAUAUUUCAAAAUUAUAACAAAAUGACAUGUGGCUAAUUGCAUGAGAGAAUGACAUUUGGCAAAAUCAUUCUCAUUUAUUAGGGUAGAUUCCGGGCACCUAAAAGGAUCAUUGUUCUUCUUGACUUUGUAUCUGGAGAAGAUUUCUUUGGGGAGGGGGAUCCUAUUAAAACUCAGAUCAGUCAGCACGUGUCAAUUCAGUUCAGUUUGUUACACCAUAGUUAGCUUAACCAAUGUACAUUUAGUUUAACUAUAGCUGUUAGAUGUCAGCUAGAGUUAACAGUUAGACAGGUAGCCUUUAUACUCUAUAUAUAUGUGUAAUUCAUAAUUCAUCAAUACAACACACAUUGACAUGAAUAUCUUCUCUACAUUCUAUUCUCAAUCUAAUUCUUAGAAUGGUAUCAGAGCUUACAAGUUAUAUGAUUUG
This 78206-nucleotide long non-coding RNA is filed under the name Lactuca sativa (garden lettuce). RNAcentral's name for it is "long non-coding RNA (LSAT_LNC009829)". The stretch from base 14087 to 14160 matches the Rfam family "tRNA". Lineage: Eukaryota; Viridiplantae; Streptophyta; Magnoliopsida; Asterales; Asteraceae. The record is from RNAcentral.